Molecule: non-coding RNA, 63519 nt
Organism: Podarcis lilfordi (Lilford's wall lizard)
Lineage: Eukaryota; Metazoa; Chordata; Lepidosauria; Squamata; Lacertidae
Source: the annotation of a GenBank genome assembly
CCUGCCUGCCUGCCUGCCUGCCUUGCCAGCCGAUCUCUUCGCAUCCGCGCGCGCGGAGGCGCUGGCACCACUUCCAGCAUGGCCCGCCGGCAGCUGCAGCCGCCUAGGAUGGAGAGGGGUCGCCCCCGGGGCCGAGGGGCGCGGCGAUGAAGGGAAGGGGCUUCUCCCCGGCGCUUGGGAGCUAUUAAAGCGGGACUUAAAACUUCACUCUGGAAUGACCCUGGAAGUCUGCCUGGGCAAAGCAGCGGGGAAGUCCUGCUGAAGGAAAAACAACCAAAACCACACACACAACAAAAAACAAAAGCCACAGUAAGUUUCCUUUCUUUAUCAUCAUGGGGGUUUGGUUUGGGAAGGCGGGGGAAUUCUGCCUUAGGAAGAGGUUUAAAGAAAAGGGGGAAAAGAAGUAAUUCCUGGGAAUGGAUCUAAAGGAGGAGAAAAGCUUGCGUGGACCCGGGAUCUUCUCCUUCCCGCGGAUUCUAAAGUUUGUAGGUAACCUAAUUAUAUUUUGCAAGUUAAUCCCUCCAUUCUCACGCUGGCGUCAUGGUGGGUUUAAGUGGAAAGGGAAGAAAUAAGGAUUUAUUUUGUUUUUUAAAGAGAUCACUCUGAAGCUGAAGUGCUAGAAUCAGACUAUCCUGAUGGAGGUGGGGGCAAAGGGGGUUUAAUAAUAAUAAUAAUCAAAAGAGCUGGUUUAAAACCAGAAAUCAAAUGAACUGCAAAGUUUGACUUCUGGGCCCAGUGGACUAAAAAAUGAAGCUGUCUGCUUUAAAAAAGAAGAGUUGAGGAUUUUAGGAUGGUUUUAGUGAGACGUCUGUUGGGAGAGGGAACAAGGCACCCUUUUUUCCUUGCUGGAAUGAGAAUGGAUGCCUCAAUUACCACUGAAAACCUCAUGUUUUAUACGUAUAUUGUUCUAGCUUCCAUUUUCCAAAGAUCUUUCUUAAAAUUUAUGGAUCAAAAGUUUGGUGUGUGUUCACUAUUUUUAUUCAUUUAUUACACACAAACACCCCAAUUUUCCUAUGAAGUACCGUAAAUAAUGAAAACUGUGAUGGUGCACUUACGAUUACAGUCUUACCGUGUGUGUGUGUGUGUGUUGAGGGGGGAGGUGAGUAGAGGAGAAGUAAACAGCGGUGGGAAUAAAAAACACUUUCAGCUUCAAAAAAGAGUGAUGGGGAACCAGGACGGAAAGUGAAAGGUGAAGAACUUAUCUUUAUAAAACCCAGGCAACAAGUUUGCCUUUGUCCAAAAGGUGUAAGGCAAAAAGGGCUCCUAGUUUAUGUUGACAGAACCUGUGAAUUUCCUGGGGUAACUUCUUCCUUGCCCUUUAUUCCCCCCCCCCCCACCUUCACCUCUCAGUCACGCUAAAAAAAGAAAUCACUCAAAAUUUGGGGGACCCAGUUUGGCUCACCACAAGAGUGAUGAGUAACCAUUCUGAAAGACAGGGCAUCCGAUGGAAUAAACACUGCGUGGUCCAAAGGGGAUUUGUCAAUACUAAAAAUAAACAGCCCCGUGAAUGUCUUCAACAGGCUCCUGUCCAGUUUCAACAAUAUUUCAAGAAUGAUUAACAGGCUGUGUUGGCUCCUUUGUUUUUUAAGCACCAGCUCUGUCCAGGGUCCUGAAGUUAGUGGCGCAGAUGCUCUCUUCCUUUCCGUAGCAUCUGAGUGUGCAUUUCUUGAUGAGUUCUGGAUGCUCCUGCUUCGCUUUCCAAGGUGGUGUGACUGACAUGGGAAGGGAUGGGGCGGGGAGAGAGAGAGAGAGAGAGAAUGGGGAUGUGUUUUCCAACACGUAUAGCUGAUCCUUGGUUUUGGCCUGCGAAACCAGGGCAGGUGGAGCUGCAGAUGGAACAGGCAGAUCCCAUAAGCUUUUGGGAGCUAAAAGGUCAGCCCAGCGAGAAAGCCAGAAUGCCUCCAUUUUAUUCCGAGAGGACAGUGGAGUUUGGCAGGGGAGCAGAGGAACUGGGAUGUUGAGGAUAUUUUGCAAUUUCUGGGGAAGUUAUGCUGGAGAGUCUUUGGUUGAGAUGGGAGGGGAGCAAAACAGAGCCGGCCUUUCCCCUGGCAGAUUAAGAACGACCUUUGCACCCCUAGGUGGUUCCUUCCUUUACCUUGCUCUCAGCAUGCCGCAUUUCUUUAGGCAACAGGCUUGACCACGAAGCAGAUUUUAAAUGCUGGCUUGUGGCAGGAGCCGUGAUGUUUUUACAUUUGCACAUCAAAAGGUUUCACGUUAAGAAGUUUUGAGUUUACGUAAUUCGUUCAACGUGACCGGUCAAAGAUAAUGCUAUGAUUAAUAUUUACACACAUGACACUGAAGUAAAAGAGACGAUUAAAUGUGCGCAUGGAAAAGCUGCUCUGCUUUUCUGCCUUACUCUCCCUUCCUUUCUGAUGUCUGAUAUUUAGCAAAUUAUUAACAAAGUUGAGUGUCUUCUCCUGGAGGAUCUAACAAGCAUUUGGGUGAAAUUACGGGCAGUGCCAGAACAAGCCGACAGUGAGAAAGACCACCCAAGGCACCACACAGUGCUGAAUUUGCUGAGCAAGUGUGCAUAUAUUUGCACGAUCCCUUCUACUCCUGCUAGCAAUGGGGAGCGAAAGAAAGUCAGUGAGGUAUAGUCAGUGGUAAGGGAUUUGCACCAGGGAAGCCUGGGAUUAUCGGCACCACGCUCUAACCAGCUGAGCUCAAAGCCACACAAUGGCCCCUAGAGCUCACCGGCUUAACAUUGGGCCAGUACUCGUGCCUAUUUUCCAUUGGGACUGGCAGAGCGGAUGGGAGGGAGGCUCAGCCAGAGUCAACUAAAUUUAGUUUUGUCCCCAUCUUCCUGUCUCUCGAGUUUUACACAAAGAGCACUGAGGCUACUAAGGAAGAAGAAGCUGAUGGGCAGAUCCAUCCCCUGAACUGAUUGUGAGUAACAAGGCAGGCAGGUGACAGCUAGCUGAGGAGAGGCUGAGAAAUGUGGGGCAGUGCCCCAUCCUCCCUAAUCGACCAGCCGCUACUGCAUAGGGCUCAUCACACACACACUCAACCAACCUCAUGUGCUAGUUGUGAGGAUAAAAGGAAGUGGCCCCCUCUGUCUAUGUGGGGGAAGAGUGGGGUAUGAGCAACGUAGAAUAAAUAUAUAUGGGGAGGGGGCAGCUGCCUCUUUUGGGGAAUUGGCACUUAUUUCCAUCUGUAUCUCAGCCCUUGCAAAGAGUUUGCCAAGAGCACCAGCAAAUUCUGGGCGGGAAGAGUACGAUAAACAAGAGAGCUGAUUUCUAAAUUGCUGCUUGCUGUUUGGCUAUGGCGAGACAAAAAUCGUCUCCAGGUGGGGACACUGCCGAAAGAGGUGUUCCUCUUUUUUGUCUUUGAGCCUUCCAGUGACUAAUGGGCAGGCACGAGCUGGCAGGCUUGUAAAUUUGUUUCUGGGCUUGCCACUUUUUGUGCGCUCUGUAAAGCUUAAGAGAAAUUAGGGUCCUAGGUCCCUGGAAAAGGCUCCCAUAUGAAAUCCCAGAGAACCACUAGAAAACUCUGAGCUCAAUAGGCCAAAUAUUUCCAGUUGAAAUAAGGCAGCUCCCUAUGUUUUUACGUGGUCGAGAAAUUAAAAGGGUCUCGUGACUGCUAAAUGGUAGCUGGCGCCAAACCUUGGCUACUGGAAGUCCAGUUGCUUUUACGAGGAUGCCCCCUCUCAUGGUUUGCAUUCUACCCAUCCAGUCUUUCUGUCUGCAAGCUCAAGGGGGAAAUACCAACCUUUGCUUUUCUCUUUUCAUGUUGUGAGUAUAGACCCAUCCCAGGCCUGGGUCACACCUCUACCUGCAAGCACAUCCUGUCAAUUUUUCUGCACUGUGUGAACUGACUCCUGAGGGAGGGAAAGCACUGCAUGUUGAGGUGAUGAUGCAGUAAUUCUAUUUGUGGUUCUGUAUUUCCGCAACGGCCUGUUCGCAGACACAAGUUGCCACUCGACACUGCCGACGCAGUUAAUAUACAGUACAGGCUUUUGUGAACCAGUUCCUAGAAAUACUGUUAUCCGUAUCUGUGAGGUGCAAUGGCUGGUGAAUUGCCCAGGUUUGGGGGCAAACCAUCCCACAGCACCUGUGCGGUAGGUCUGCUGUGGAAUUCGGGAAUGAAAUCGUAGCAGAAGUUGACCCGGCGCCUCCGAAUUUCUUGAACCAAUUGGAUACAGUCACCUGUGGAAGGACUGUAGCUCAGCAGUGGAACACCUGGAAAUGUCAGAGACCUUCUGUAGGUGGGACUGGGAAUGUCUACUGUUUGGAACCCCAGAGAGCAGCUGUCAGUCAAUUUCUACAAUACUGAGCUAGGUGGACCAGUAGUAGUAGUUUUGGAUUUGAAAUCCUGCUUUAUCACUAUCCAAAGGAGUCUCAAAGCGGCUAACAAUCUCCUUUCCCUUCCUCCCCCACAACAAACACUCUGUGAGGUGAGUGAGGCUGAGAGACUUCAGAGAAGUGUGACUGGCCCAAGGUCACCCAGCAGCUGCAUGUGGAGGAGCGGAGACGCGAACCCAGUUCACCAGAUUAUGAGUCUACCGCUCUUAACCACUACACCACACUGGCUCUCCAGUGGUUUGAGUGGAUGGAAAGUACUUUCCUAUGUACUUGUGGGGGCUGGUGUUUUUUGUGGUGGGAGUAUGUGUGUGUUUGCCUGUGGUGCUCAGCCCCAUCUUCAGGAUUAAUGUGGUCUCAGGGGAAGAGACCAUUAAGAGGUGAAGCAAAUAGAUAGGAAAGCUGAGAGGGGACACCCCCCACUCCAUGGCCCCCUAGUCAGAUGACUCAAACACGGAAGCCAAAGACCCGUGCCAAACACAAUGUGGUUCUGGAAGUUUUCAUGCAAAUUCGGCAUCUGUUUCUUUCAGCGGAGGGCAAUAGUGAAACAUAUCUAAAACUAAGGAGGAAUCAAAUACCAAGUGGCAGCUUUGAAUCUCCUUCUCCAAUUUCUUCUGAAUUCCUUGGUCUGUUUGGGGCCUUGUCCUCCCCGCCCCCCCCGCUUGGUGGCUGUCCAGAGCCUAUCAACUCCCUCCUUGUGGUUCUGACUCACUUUGUCACACACCCCAAAUGUGCAAUUGCAAGCCACCUUGGUGUGGGUUGAGUAAUACCAGGGCAAGCAGCAGCCUCUGCCAGAUAGUGGAUGACCCUUUCACAGUGAGAAAUAACAAGCUGUUUGCCCCCUACUCCAGCCCCACUGCCCCUGUUGCAGCGAAUGGCUGUCAUGUUGUAAAUUUGAGCAAUGAUCAAUGGCGCACUUUUCAACUGAACACAUUUCCCGAUUCUUUCCUUCCAUCCUGAAACUGCAGAUGUUAUUUAGGAAAAAACGAAUAAAGAAACCAACUCUGACAUCUAGGAGAUGAUAAAUGAUAGGUAAAGAAGUUCAAAGUUAUUCUUGGAGGGAGUGAUUGGCAAAACCUGGAAUGAGUUCUGAAUGAUGGGCGAUCUUUCAGGGCAUUGCUGCCAAAAUUAUGCCCUCGCUACCCAUGCAGACUGCUCCUGCUGUUCCAUGAUGAGCCAGCUUCAAAGCUGUUGUGCAAUAACUUUCUGGUACUUUCAGAUCAGUGGGGGGAGCGAGUCACAUUUUGUUUUUAUUCCUUCCUUUUCCCUGCCCCUGUGUCCUCCACCCACUGCACUGCCAGCAGCAUUCGGUGCCUGAAUGUGCUUUACUGUGUUAGGCUACAGGCUGGUGAGCUGUGUUAGAAAUUAGCCAGGCGCCAAAGUGCAUUUUGCUACUGGCGUGGGUCCAUGUGUGGAGAUCUCUGGAUGCCAGGUGGGCAACUGACAUCUCCACCUGUCUGCCCCCUCCAGGUUUCUGAAGCAGGUAAGCAGAAGAGCUUCUUCAUUGCAUAUAUAGCCCACCUUUCUCUCCAAGGAGUACAUGGUUUACCCUGCUCCUCAGUUAAUCCCUACAAUGAACCUAUGAGGUAGGUUAAUAGGCUGUGACUGACUCCAAGGUCACCCAGGACCAGUGAGCUUCAUGACCGAGUGGAGAUUUGAACCCUCAUCUCCCAGGUCCUAGUCCGACACUCUAACCACUAUACCACAUUGGCUUCCUAGAGUGCUUUUGCUAUGGGUCAGCUAUAUAAAUUAAGUAAGUAAAUAAAUAUGGGGAAAUCAAAAUGUCACUUAGAGAAGGAUCUGAAGUAUUUUCCUUGAAAUUUGAAUUCGUUGUGGAUUGUUUUAUUUGAUGUCUUAAUGUGUUGUAAACCUCUUUGAAUUUUUUUCUUUUAAAGCAUAAUAAUAAUAAUAAUAAUAAUAAUAAUUUAUUAUUUAUUAUUUAUACACCGCCGAUCUAGCUGGGUUUCCCCAGCCACUCUGGGCGGCUUCCAACAGAAUAUUAAAAUACAAUAAUCUAUUAAACAUUAAAAGCUUCCCUAAACAGGGCUGCCUUCAGAUGUGUUCUAAAAGUCUGGUAGUUGUUCUUUUUGACAUCUGGUGGGAGGGUGUUCCACAGGGUGGGCGCCACUUCCGAGAAGGCCCUCUGCCUGGCUCCCUGUAACUUGGCUUCUUGCAGUGAGGGAACCGCCAGAAGGCCCUCAGCACUGGACCUCAGUGUCCGGGUAGAACAAUGGGGGUGGAGACGCUCCUUCAGGUCUACUGGACCAAGUAAAGAAAUGAUGAUAAUUCCCACUGCAACAACAAAUUGUGCCUAGACAUUCCGUUGUGGUGACCAUAACCUAGGUUUAAGGUGCCAUUUGGUGAUUAGCUUAUAGCAUAUCUGAGUUUCUAACACUGAUGGUGAGAAGGGGCAUGGUGCCUCCCCCCCUAGCCAGCUGCCCUCACCAAGCCUCUGAAUUUCUGGCUUUCUGUUGGCCACCUUGAGGGCACACCUAAUUAUUCCAUACUGAAAAGAAAAACAAUGGUUUUCAGAAAACAUGUCAAUGUGCUUUGUGCCUUCACUCGUACCUGAGGCUGGUGCUUUUGCCAUUCCACCCCAGCUACACUCCUGAGGAAGACUGCAAAUGCCAUGAGGUCUUCUUUCUCUGCUCCCUUGAGGGAGUCUGCACUCAAUAAUAUAUUGAGCUUUGUCAUUGCUCCUGUAGGUUUUCUUGCUCCCUGGCUCUAUGCUUCCAGCACAAGGAGAUUUCAAGGGCGAAGUUAGCCAGCUCAUUCUGUGGGAUCUCCCUCUAUUUUAUUCCAUUUAUUUAUAGACGUAUCUGCAUAUGGCUGACUCAGAUGUAGCAUCAAGGCGGCUUACAGCAACAUACACGGGUGCAAUAGAAUGAAAAGCUGCCGUAGAAACAAUAGAAAAUAGUCAUGGAGAGGACCGGCUAAUCGAGAAAGCUUAAGCAGUUAGUCAGAAGACUUUCAGGGUGAGAAGUUUUGCAAAAGAUGCCUGGAAGUCAGUAGUGGGGAGGCUUGGGGAAUCUCUGCCGGGAGAGUGUGCCACAUUAUGGGAUCAGCAACACUUCAUGCCUGACUUCUGGCCGAGGCUGGUUGGGCCUCUGUAACACGGGGGACAACUCACUGUGCUCCUCCAGGUGUUCUCGGUGACUGUGUCGAUUGCUCAGGCAGGUCCUAAGGUAUACUGGACCUCAGUUGUUCAGGGCUGUGUAUAUUAACACAAGAGCCCUGAUCCCGGCCCAGCAGCAUAUGGGCAGCCAGUGCAGAUGUGCCAAAAGUGGUGGCGUGUGCUGUCAGCUGUCUGCCCCCAUCAGUAGUCUGGCUGCUGCAGUUUGCAUUUGCUAGAGCUUCCAGACUAGGCCCAAGGGGAGCCCCACACGGAACGCAUUGCAGUAAUCUAGUCUGCGGGUUAUUGUUGACUACAGUGACAAAUACCGUGUUGGCCUGAAUAUAAGCCACACUUCCCCCCCCAAAUUCCGACCGUGAAAAGUUGAAGUUGUGGCUUAUAUUUGCGACCUUACAGUAUGUAGCCAGGAGCAUGGGGCAAACAGCGAAUGCCCCGCGCAUAGUCCCCUGUCCAAGGGUAGAGAGCGAGGAAGAGGAAAGGCCGCCGGCAGUGUAGCGUGGCUUCCCCCCCCCCCCCAGUUUAGCAUGCAGCCAGGAGCAGCAAGGAAUAGAGCGGCUUAUAUUCAGGCAUUUCUUCUUUUUUUCUCCCCCCCCAUCAAUUAAUAAAGGUGCAGCUUAUAUUUGGGUGCAGCCAUAUUCAGGCCACUAUGGUAAUGCAAACAACUUUUGUAUUAUUAUUAUUAUUUAUUAAAUUUGUAUAUUGCCAUUUAUUUGUAGAGCUCAGGGCGGUUCACAACCCUAAUCCAGGGUCUGUAUCAGAGUCUCCCUAAGCACUUAGUAGCUGACAGUUCGAAAGCACGAAGUGCAAGUAGAUAAAUAGGUACCGCUUCGGCAGGAAGGUAAACGGCGUUUCCGUGCGCUGCUCUGGUUUCGCCAGAAGCGGCUUAGUCAUGCUGGCCACAUGACCCAGAAAACUGUCUGUGGACAAACGCCAGCUCCCUCGGCCAGUAAAACGAGAUGAGCGCCGCAACCCCAGAGUCGUUCACGACUGGACCUAAUGGUCAGGGGACCCUUUGCCCUUUACCUUUCCUGUUUCUUGCAUGCAUUAAUUGCCCUUUGUUAAUGCUCCUGUAAAAGGCCCCUGCCUUUUAACAACACGUGUUGCCCUGAAACCUUAAUGGCUUCAACACUGCAGUGGAACGGUCUCCCUCUGGAGUUUCUGGACUCUCCUUCCUUGGAGGUUUCUAAGCAGAGGUUUGGAUGGCCACCUGUCAUGGAUGCUUUAGCCGAGAUUCCUGAAUCGCAGGGGGUUGGACUAGAUGACCCUCGGGGGUCCCUUCCAAGUCUAUGAUUGCUGAGGGAGGUCCUGAACACAGGAGCAAAUUCUUUGGAAGCAGAUUUGUGGCAGAUAUGUCCAUCAAGAGCUACCAGUCAUGUUGGAGGCUAUGGUCUGCUUCCAUGGUCAGAGGCAGUAAUGCCUUUGAACAGCAGUUUCUGGAAACCACAGGAAGGGAGAGAUGCCCUUGUGCUCAGGUCCUCCUUGUCGGUUCCCCAUACGCAUCUGGUUGGCUACCAUGAGAAAAGGACGCUGGACUAGAUGGGCCAUUGGUCCUGAUCCAUCAGGGCCCUUCUUCAUGUUCUUAAGAGCAGGUUGUGGAUUGGGUAUGAGAUCUUGCACAACUUUUGGGAUCACCUUGGUGCCAGCUUUUAAUGGAGUGCUUAUGAAUAGGUGUAAUGUAUGCUUAGAAAGCCUCUAAGAGCCAGUGUGGUGUAGUGGUUAAGAGCAGUAGUCUUGUAAUCUGGUGAGCUGGGUUCGCUUCCCGGCUCCUCCACAUGCAGCUGCUGGGUGACCUUGGGCCAGUCACACUUCUCUGAAGUCUCUCAGCCCCACUCACCUCACAGAGUGUUUGUUGUGGGGAGGAGGGGAAAGGAGAUUGUUAGCUGCUUUGAGACUCCUUAAAGGUAAAGGUAAAGGUAAAGGGCCCCCUGACCAUUAGGUCCAAUUGUGGCCGACUCUGGGGUUGCGGCCUUCAUCUCGCUUUACUGGCUGAGGGAGCCGGCGUACAGCUUCCGGGUCAUGUGGCCAGCAGGACUAAGCCGCUUCUGGCGAACCAGAGCAGCGCACGGAAACGCCGUUUACCUUCCCGCUGGAGCGGUACCUAUUUAUCUACUUGCACUUUGACGUGCUUUCCUGCUAGGAUGGCAGGAGCUGGGACCGAGCAACGGGAGCUCACCCCGUCAUGGGGAUUAGAACCGCCGACCUUCUGAUCGGCAAGACCUAGGCUCUGUGGUUUAGACCACAGUGCUACCCACGUCCCUUUGAGACUCCUUAGGGUAGUGAUAAAACAGGAUAUCAAAUCCAAACUCUUCUUCUUCUUCUUGAAUACUUCAUGGCUUUGCUGUUCUCGCCGCCGUUCCUUCUAUUCUUGAUGCUCAUGCAAUGAGUGCCAUUGCUUAGGAAGUCAGCACAGCACUACCCAUGCACAAGAGAGAGAGAGAUACAAGUGGCCUUUAAGGAACCCCACGUUUUGCAGAAAUACAGAAAACUGUUGAAGCGGGAAGCUCCCCCCCCCCCCGCUAAAUAGUCCAGAGAAGACUGUGCAUGCUCAGUAGCCAAGGAAUGCCGAUUGACUGUUGGGGAAAGGGAAUGAAAAACUGGAAGGUUGCAGGAAUGGAAUGAUUGGGCUCAUUCGGAAGAGCAUGAGACUCUUAAAUCUCAGGGUCGUAGGCUUGAGCCCCAUGUUGGGCAAAAUAUUCCUGCAUUGCAGCAGGUUGGACUAGAUGACCCUUGGGGUUCUCUCCAACUCUACAAUUCUAUGAUUGUCUGGAAUCUAGGAUCAAUGCCACACCAUACAUUUAAAGUGCUAUUAUACCACUUCAACAGUCACAGAGAGACUCCUCUGUCUGUUAAGGGUGAAGGAAAUUGUGAAUCUGUGGGGUCUUCACCCAUAACAAACUACAGUUCCCACAAUUCCCCCUACCUGUUACGGGUGGUAUCAGAGAGGAUAUGGUGUGGAUGCAAACAGAAGCACUCUACGCUGCAGCAUUUUGUUGCAGGCUUUCCCGUUUCUCUCUCCCUUCUUUCCAGUCUGUCCCCCGGUGCUUUUGCUCGAUGCAUUUUAAGCGCUACAAAUCUAGUGGUUUAAAGGUUUGUGUUUGUGUGGGGGGGCGGAGGGAGGGAGAGAAAAUUACAGAGUUUUAAAAACAUGAUAGGCACCAAAGAUCAUUUGAGGAGUUCACAUUCCUGUGCCUGUAAUGCACAGGGUUCCUCUUGCCUGGAAGUGGAACUGUGUGAGCACCUUUCUCACCUUCUUGCCUGGCAAAUUGCAGCUGCUGCAAUCCCAUCUCCCGCUCUGUGCAACUAUUAAAAGGUGCAGAACCCUCGUCCAGCUUCGCACCUGCUCGCCCAGAAACACCCUCACCUGUAGACAGCACAACAAGAGUUUCAGUGUUUUCUCUUUUAAAAAAUAUUUUUUUAUUAUUAGUUGAAUAUAAGAACAACAUAUAAUCAAAUACAAGCAAUCAAAUACAGUUUUCCCCUACCCUCCCAAAAAACAGCCACAACUACGUCCAGGUAAUUACAUUAGUAAUAUAAUCAAAUAAAAAAAUUAUUUCUACAGGUGCUGGUUUAAAAAAUAUCAUUCCACAUGCUCCCAUGUGUCUUAGGCGGUUUAAAUGCAUGUUCUUUCUUUGAUGCAUAUGUAAUAAAGGAGGACCACGUUUUGUAAAAGUUACGUAGUUUCUCACGUUGUUUUCUUUCACGUACCCUUUCUGUUAACUUUUCCAUCAAAAUUAAAUUAAAAUAAAAUUAAAACCAGUGUUUUCUCAAAGCGGUAAUGCUUUCUGGAUCGGUCUUUGCCGUUUAGCAAACAUCCACUCAAGCAAAGGGAAAGAAGCGGACCCUGAAUGGAGGAGAGAAGGGAGUAUAUUGGGAGCAGCUGAAUUGGCGUCGGAGUUCCAGGAAAGAGGGUUGGUGGAAGGGAAAAGGACCGUGGUGGGGGUGGGAAAAGGUGUUGAGCCUUCUGUCCUGCUGCAGUCUGACAGGUUUCUCCGAUUUUAUUUUUAAAACGUUUGGGCACCUUUGGCCUUUCAGAUUUUGCUGAGCUAUAACUCCCAGGAGCCUCUGCAAGCAUGGCCAUUGAUGGUGGGAAUUGUAGUUCACCAAACGUGGUGGGAGAAAGGUUGCUCACACUUGUAUUUUUAUUUUUUUUAAUUUCAAGCCUAGGAUUUCUUUGAGUUUUGCAAGGCAUAAGAGUCAUAAGAAUUGGGGUGGGGUGGGGGAGACUCUUGAAGUCAUCUAGUCCAGCCCGACUCAACGCAUGUUCAGAAAUGCAGGAGGCAGUGCCUCCAGAAAACCACCACCACUUCCUGUUCCCCUGUCAGAGCAGCUCUUACCAUCAGGGUGCUUCUCUUACCAUAUGUGGAGGACUCCCUUGUCCUGAAUGGGUUACUGUGCCCCUGAAGGACCAGGUGCGCAGCCUGGGAGUCAUUCUGGACUCACAGCUGUCCAUGGAGGCACAGGUCAAUUCUGUGUCCAGGGCAGCUGUCUACCAGCUCCAUCUGGUACGCAGGCUGAGACCCUACCUGCCCAUGGACUGUCUUGCAAGAGUGGUGCAUGCUCUGGUUAUCUCUCGCUUAGACUACUGCAAUGUGCUCUAUGUGGGGCUACCUUUGAAGGUGACCCGGAAACUACAACUAAUCCAGAAUGCGGCAGCUAGACUGGUGACUGGGAGCGGCUGCCGAGACCACAUAACACCGGUCUUGAAAGACCUACACUGGCUCCCAGUACGUUUCCGAGCACAAUUCAAAGUGUUGGUGCUGACCUUUAAAGCCCUAAAUGGCCUCGGUCCAGUAUACCUGAAGGAGCGUCUCCACCUCCAUCGUUCUGCCCGGACACUGAGGUCCAGCACCGAGGGCCUUCUGGCGGUUCCCUCACUACAAGAAGCCAAGUUACAGGGAACCAGACAGAGGGCCUUCUCAGUAGUGGCACCCGCCCUGUGGAACACCCUCCCAUCAGAUGUCAAAGAGAAAAAUAACUACCAAACUUUUAGAAGACACCUGAAGGCAGCCCUGUUUAGGGAAGCUUUUAAUGUUUAAUAGUUAUUGUAUUUUAGUGUUUUGUUGGAAGCCGCCCAGAGUGGCUGGGGAAACCCAGCCAGAUGGGUGGGGUAUAAAUAAUAAAUUAUUAUUAUUAUUAUUAUUAUUAUUAUUAAGUGUUGUCCAAAAUAUCCUCCCCUGUCAUUUCCAGCCAUUGGUUCUAGACCUGCCUGGAAAUGACUUCUAAGGCUUUUUGGGGCAUAUGCUCACUGGAAGCUUGGCUUUGGGGCAAAAUUAGGGCAAUUGUGAUGUCGUGGUUAGGGGUGUCACAUUAAGUCUGCGGAGAGACCCAGCUUCAAUUCCUUCCUUGGCUACGUAGAUCGGCAGGUGCCAUUGAGCUGGUCACGAGGUGCGACUGUCGGAUGAGGACUGGAUAUACUGUGAAGCUUGCUGGCUGAUCUUGGGCUAGGCAUUCACACACACACUCUUGGCUUGACCUGCUUCGCAAGGCUGCCGUGAGGAUCAACCGGGCAGAUGGGGAGAGCCACCUCGAGGUCCUCAGAGGGAAUGUGAGAUGGAAAUAGGAUAAAUAAUAACAAACAGAACACAAUGUACGGGACCCACAAUCGUGACCUCCCGCAGUCUUUAAAUAAUGAAUGGGCAGCCCAUCUGCUUUGAAAAUUGAGAAAGUGGUGUUGGCCGAGGGGAUGUUUAACCCUUUCGCCACUACAGUGGUACCUCGGGUUACAUACGCUUCAGGUUACAGACGCUUCAGGUUACAGACUCUGCUAACCCAGAAAUAUUACCUCGGGUUAAGAACUUUGCUUCAGGAUGAGAACAGAAAUCGUGCUCCAGCGGCGCGGCAGCAGCAGGAGGCCCCAUUAGCUAAAGUGGUGCUUCAGGUUAAGAACAGUUUCAGGUUAAGAACGGACCUCCGGAAGGAAUUAAGUACUUAACCUGAGGUACCACUGUACAGGCAGACACUGUGUCCCCAGUCUAAAAACAACUCCUGAAGCGGGUAUUAGUUGGGUUACUUCUGUGAUGUUAAUAGCAGCCCUGGGGAUAGGGGUGGGAUUUAGAUUACGGAAAUGUCAAUGGGACAGUUAAGUAGAGGGGCGGGCGGAUGACUUGUGAACCUCCAACUCCCACCAUUCUUGACCAUUGGCCCCGAUGGCUGAUGAACCCAAUCCUGUAUACCUGAAGGAGUGUCUCCACCUCCGUCAUCCAGCCCGGACGCUGAGGUCCAGCACCGAGGGCCUUCUGGCGGUUCCUUCGCUGCGAGAAGUGAGGUUACAGGGAACCAGGCAGAGGGCCUUCUUGGUAGUGGCACCCACCCUGUGGAACGCCCUCCCAGCAGAUGUCAGGGCAAUAAACAACUAUUUUACUUUUAAAAUACAACUGAAGGCUGCCCUGUUUAGGGAAGUUUUUAAUGUCUGGUGCUGUAUUGUUUUUAAUAUUCAGUUGGAAGCUGCCCAGAGUGGCUGGGGAAACCCAGCCAGAUGGGUGGCGUAUAAAUAAUAAAUUAUUAUUAUUAUUAUUAUCACAUCUGGAGUGACACAGAGUCACAAAUUUAAUAAAUAAAAAAUAGAGUAACAGCAGAGGGCAGGCACCUUAUUACCCCAUGCCUUCAAGGCAGACAUGUGGGGUGGGGACAACCCCCCCCCCAUACAACCAAAUGCCCCAAGCCAUCGGAGUUCCUGCUCGUAGGAUCUCCUGCACUGCGCCUAGCUUGACUCUCAGAAAGGCUGCCUUCUGGAUUUCGACUGACUGUAAUGUUUAAAAGUGAAAAGCUUUCUGAGUUUAUUUGCAAGGCUUUCUUUCUUUUUUUCUUUUGUGUAAAACCCAGCUUCUAAUCAAAACAUGGCACAUUUGCAGCAAUUGUCUUUAGAAUGUUUUAUCCGUACUUCAUGGAUUGCUCUUUGGGUUUUACCUGCUGAGGACUUCUGGCUCCCUGAAAGGGAGGGGGAAGGUGUUUUAGAGAGGGAUGAUUUUGCAAAGGAAAAGUCCUGAAUUGCAGUCAUAGCCAAAGGCUUGCAUAAAGCGAUUGGUGAUUUCGUUUUAUGGCUUUUGGGCCGGUCCACCAGAAUAAGCGCUUGCAUAAGCUUAGCUGGGACAAUGGGAGCUGCUGAAAGGGACUGAGUUCUCUGCUCAGCGCCAUCCUGCAAAGCUUUCUCUACUGUAUGCAAGCUCUAGUAAUUUAUUAUUGUUGUUAUUAUUAUUAUUUAUGGUGGUGGUUUGUUUUUCUGCUUUCCAUCAAAUGCUGAAGGCAGCUUAUAAGGUAAAGGUAAAGGGACCCCUGACCAUUAGGUCCAGUCGUGACCGACUCUGGGGUUGCAGCGUUCAUCUCGCUUUACUGGCUGAGGGAGCCGGCGUACAGCUUCCGGGUCAUGUGGCCAGCAGGACUAAGCCGCUUCUGGCAAAACCAGAGCAGCACACGGAAACGCCGUUUACCUUCCCGUUGGAGCGGUACCUGUUUAUCUACUUGCACUUUGACGUGCUUUCGAACUGCUAGGUUGGCAGGAGCAGCGACCAAACAAUGGGAGCUCACCCCGUCGCGGGGAUUAGAACCACCGAUCUUCUGAUUGGCAAGUCCUAGGCUCUGUGGUUUAACCCACAGCGCCACCCGCGUCCCGAAGGCAGCUUAUAGUGUCAUAUAAUUUCAAAUCAUAUACUCAAUUUUUAAAACAAGAACACAUUAUGUCCCGCUUUUCUUCCAGAGAGCUGAAGGUGGCAUGUAUGGCUCUCCUCCCUUGUUUUAUCUUCACAACAGACCUGUGAGGGUAGGUCAGGGUGAAAUCAUGGAGCCAUAGCUCAGCUGUAGAGCAUCUGCUUUGCAUGCAGAAGGUCUCAGGUCCAAUCCCUACCAUCUCCCGGUAGAACUAGGAGAGACUACUGUCUGAAAUUCUGGAGAGCCUCUGCCAGUCAGUGUGCAGACAAUACUGAUGGAUCGGUGGUCUGAUUGGGCUUAAUAUGUCUUCCUCUGCCCCGAAGACACCGAGUAACCAGAGGUCACCCAGUGAGCUUCAUGGCUGUGUGGAGAUUUGGAUUUCGGUGCUCCUGGUCCUCGUUUGACAAGCAACAAAUAAAUUCCUUAGGGCCAUCUUUUAACAAAGUCCAGAUGAUUUUCUGAAACAUUGUUGCACCCUGAAAGGCCAGUGAUCAUGGUAGACUUGAAGACCACUUUGGGGUGGUGUUCUGCAAUGUGGGUGCUGCAGUUGAAAUGGGAACACUUUGAAUGAAACAGAUGGUUUCCCUUCAUUCUUGAACUCCUUCGCUCCUAUGCCCUAGGCAUCUCUUACCCACAUUGUUUGGAGGAGUUGUGAGUUGCUGCACCCCAGAAUUGUGGGUGAGAUGCUUGCUGUUGUUUGACCUAACCAAAGGGUCCAUACCUCCUUCCCUUUACCGGACUGCUUAAACCUUGCCAAGAAAGCCUGGCUGCUUCCAUCAUUUCCAUUGGCCCCUCCUUCCAGGAAGACGUGGCAGCCCUCCAGCCCUGCGAAAGAGGCUGGAGCGAGGCCACUAUCAAUUAAACCAUCAGUGUUGAGAUCCUGCUUGUCAUGAGCCAACGCCAAUUUUGCCGUAUUUGGGCAAAGCGGGAGAGCAAGUGGUGGCAGUUUAGCUGCAGGCACUUCUGGAUGAAGCUGGUUAUCAGACCUGGCUUGGGGACAGUGAAUGCCUUGGUCACACUCUGGUAGAUGACCUUUGCUGAGAGAUAGGCUGGGGAAUGUGAGCCUGCUGACUUUCCUGGACAUCUUGGUGGCUUUUGACAUCACCGUCCGUGGUGUCCUUCUGCACCACAUGGCCAGAAUGGGGACUUGGAAGCUCUGCAGUUCAGUGGUGGAACACCUCCUUUGAAUGCAGAAGAUCACGGGUUCUGCCCUCGGCAUCUCCCACUAAGGCUGCCUGAAAUUCUUGAGAGCUAGGAUUAGAUAAGAGCAUCUUGGCUUGGUCGUGAGUCUUGAAAGACCCGCUUCCUGCCUUGCAAAGACUGUUUCCACCUGGCCCAGAAGGCGGGGCCCGGACUGACUCCAGCUACAAAAGCUGAGGCUGUUCAACAGAUUCUUGGGCUGGGGUGUUGUUUUGGCGUUCUUGUUGGUGAGGGGUUCUUCCUGUUGGCGUUUUGUAUCUUACUUCUUCUGAAGUAGACGUCUAUAGCAGGCUUCCUCAACCUCGGCCCUCCAGAUGUUUUGAGACUACAAUUCCCAUCAUCCCCAACCACUGGUCCUGCUAGCUAGGGAUCAUGGGAGUUGUAGGCCAAAAACAUCCGGAGGGCCGAGGUUGAGGAAGCCUGAUCUAUAGGAUUGCGCUGUAAGCAAGACUGGCCUUUUUAGGAGGACGCCUGGUUCAUUGGCUAACAGCCCAGUCCUAUGCAUGUCUUCUCAGAAGAGUUCAGUGGGACUUACUCCUAGUUAAAUGUGUAUAGGAUUGUAGACUUAAGCGACUUUUUGGGUGGUGGCUGUGAGGAAUGAUCUAUCGCAGAGUUGGUUGGAAAGGAUCUGAAAUGCCAGCUAGUCCCAGCUCCAUACCACAACGGCAUCCUUUUAGCAUCUUUGCUGGUUUGCUUAAUCCAGCUUUAGAUUGGAUGCCAUUAGCUAGCAAACCGCUUUGCGUUGCUUUGAUGCUUCAAGACAACCUUCCCUUACCUGGUGCCCUCCUGAUGGGAGUUGUAGUACAGACAUCCAGAGGACAUCAGUUUCGGGAAUGCCCUUGAGAACUGAGCAUUUGCAGGAUAUCAGUGCAAUAAUAACAAAAACAACUCUUGACUCUUGUGCUGCUCCCCUUCACUGGUGGAUUUUAUAUACUGCAUUAUUAUAUGCCCGUUAUUGGUGUGCCUAUGACAUUUUUAUCUCACCAAGAAAUCCCCCCUCUGCAUUUGAUUUUAACAGCAACCCUGUAGUUAAGACUCCAAGAUAGUGAAUACCCCAAGGUCGUCCAUUGAGUUUCAUGGGCAGGUGGAGAUUUGAUCUUGGCUUUCCCUGAUUUCCAAGCCAUUUUUGUUUUAAUGUUUCCAGUUUUAGACCCCUGUAUUUAUUUAUUUUUAGUGUACUAGCACCCCUUCCUUCUUUCCUUCAAGCCUUUUCACAGUUUUGUGUGUUCACACACACACACACAAAAUUGAACCAACCUCGAAUCCCUUUUGAAUAUUUGGGGCCGUCUGUCUAACUAGAGAACCAGCGUCUUGCACAUGGAGGCCCUCAGGUCAAUAAACGUACGCAAAUGCCCGGUUGGCAGAAGCAAGUAUGAAUUUAUCCUGACGUAUGACGUUAAAACACGCGAGGCUUUGUUGAAUCAGAAUUUCCCCGUGUUUUAAAGUUAAAACAACUGACCCAGGAGACCGAAAGUUCUGGACUAAAAAUAAAACACCGUGUGGUCUAUGAAAUCUAAUCCAGCAGUUGCAUUAAAGGGAGGCGGAGAGAGAGAGAGAAUUUGCAGGCAGCCCAAUCUGAAAGCUUCUUCGCACAUCUGAUGUUUUCGGUGUGUUCUUGAGGUACGAAGGUAACAAACAUGCCUGCAGCCACAUGUUCAGGUAAACACCUAAGCAGCCUCUUCCCGUGGAGUGCUAGCUCAGUAACAAAUCUGGAUUUGGAGCCACGCGAAGUGUGAAGUUGUCCUUGGAACCAGGACUGCACCGGCUGCUUUUGAUUUGAUCCAACAGGGCUCUUCAUGUGUCCGUAUUCCCAUGGUAAUCGCAGUUCAAACAGAUCUGUAGACCCCAAGGAUUGGCAUAGCUUCCCCUGCUGCUUAUUUCCACUGACAUUCCCAGUAGAAAUGCACGAAGGAAGACCAGCUGGUGUUAUAUUCAUAUCUGAAAGCGUUGCAUUUUCAUGUUGAAACCUACCAAAGUAGCGAGGGUAGAAAAAGAGAUUGUUGUUACCGGGGGGCGGGGGGUGGAAUCUGUUUCCACUGGAGUGUAACCUCUGAGUAACAGGGACUGUGUGCUUUGCUUUGCUUGAUGUUGUCGUUGCCGUAUCUUUAAUUUAAUUUGUGCUGUUGAAAUCCAAGCUAUGGGCCCGUAUGGAGCCAACAGUGUCUCUCUCUAAGCUUAUCUUGCCGAGUGACGGCUUCUAAAUCAAGCUGGAAAUCAGGUCACACAUUUCCUGCUCUUAGAGGGAUUUAUCUCAUUUCUGUUCUUUCAAAGUAAUUAGAGUUACUAAUAAGGAGGACAAAAUGGUAAGAUCUGCCCGGACUGAAAAUAUACCUUAGCUCCAUCUCGUAGGAUAGGUUCUCAGAGACUUCCCCCCCAGACUGGUGCCCUCCCGAUGUUUUGGGCUGACGCUAUGGGAAUUGUAGUCCAAAACGUCAGGCAGGGGGGCACCAGGUUGGAGAACGCUUGGACAGAAAAUGGGUUCGUUGACGUGAUCUGUGGAAAUAGGCUAGCAGGCAAAAUUUAAGCCAGAGUACUUCUUUUUGGGAAGAAAAGCUAACAUUUCAUUAUUUGAAAAUGCCUAAUGCUCAACACCGCGGGUGGCGCUGUGGGUUAAACCACAGAGCCUAGGACUUGCCAAUCAGAAGGUCGGCGGUUCGAAACCCCGCGACGGGGUGAGCUCCCGUUGCUCGGUCCCUGUUCCUGCCAACUUAGCAGUUCAAAAACACGUUAAAGUGCAAGUAGAUAAAUAGGUACCGCUCCAGCGGGAAGGUAAAUGGCGUUUCCGUGCACUGCUCUGGUUCAACAGAAGCGGCUUAGUCAUGCUGGCCACAUGACCCGGAAGCUGUACACCGGCUCCCUCGGCCAAUAGCACCGUAACCCCAGUCGGCCACGACUGGACCUAAUGGUCAGGGGGUCCCUUUACCUUAAAUGCUCAACACAGCUUGGGGAUUAACUUACUUCCUUGUUCCCUGUUAUUACCUAUUAACAUAAGAACAUAUGGCCCACGAAAGCCCACCUAGUCUAGCAUCCUGCUUCUCAAAAGUGGGCAGCCCAGAAGCAGGAGACCUACCAAGGGCAUGCCAAGUUCAGAUACCGGGGGGCAAAGAGAGGUGUUCUCAGCUGCUUCGCCCACUCCAGUUAUGGUUUUGGGACCCUCAUCUCUUCCCAAUUCCAAGUGUGUGCACUUUUUGGAAAGUAUCACAAGACCCAUGAUCUUGACUGGUGUUUAUGGCUCAGGGUUCAGUUUGCAAAGUGUGUGUGUGUGUGGUUUUAAUGGCCAACUUCAGCUGUCAUGCCAUUGGAAACCUGUUUCGGGCUCCCACCUCUUUCUACAGUCACUCAUAUUCUCCAAUUAUCUCCUGCACAACCAUAGUUCGCUGUGACACUGGGAAAACUGUGGUUAUAGCUAACCAUCGCAUGCCUUCAAACCAAAGUUGGAAACCAUGGUUGGGUUUCACGCUCUGGUUUGGAGGCAAAUGAUGGUUUGCAGUAACUAUAUUUUUCAGCUGCCCUGAGGCUUUGAGUUGGGGUGGACUACAAAUCUAAAUUAAUAAAUAAGACUUAUUAUCAUGGAGUUUGUGUGGGGAGGAAGGAAGCAUAAAGAAUUUUAAAAAAAGACACCCCUGUCUAAAGGCUGAAGUAGUGAAGUCCGGAACGGCUUUAACAUGUGAUGUACAUGUAGACUAGAAUGAGGCGAUUGAAUCUUGGUGGUAGAAUGAGCUGCACAAUUUUAACCUGCUGGUAGGGGGUGCCAUUGUGGAAUGCUAUCCACAUACAAAUGCCUUGCAAGUUAAAACAAAAAGCAGGAAAGCAGAGAGAGAAAGCUCUUGCACAACCCACUCCUUAUUGUAGCAAGGUUUUCUUUUCCUCGCAAGAAGAUACAUGAAGAAACAGAAAGCCACAGAGUAGGAAUAAAUGGACAGUUUUCCCAAGUGGAGUGAUGUAGAAAGCGAAAAACCUCAUGUUGGAACUACAACAGCAGAGAUCAUUAAGUUUGUAAGUGAAGGGUUAAAAUCUAUUAGGGCUAAAGUCAGCUAGCCAAGCAGGGGGACAUGUGGGGUAUUGGUUAGUAACCAGGCAAAGUGACAUGAUCUUGACUGAGGUAGCACAUGCCCUGGCUUUGUCCUUAUGAAGGAGUUUCUCCUUGUUAUGGUUGAUUGAAUGUAUUCCUGCCAUGUACAAGGCUUGAACUAAGAAAGUCAAAGCCUCUCUGCUCCUUUCUCCCCAAACUAUGCAUGUUUUUUUUGUUCAGUUUUGCUCAGUUAGAUGUUGUCAGGAUAUAUUUUCUCCUUGGAUUCUGUCUGUGUUAUUUAAGUGACUCUACUAGCACCCCAAAGACAUGUGUUUCUUAACUUGUUCAUAAACAGCAGAGUUAGGGGACAGCUCCACUUGGGUUUGGCUUCCUUUUAGAGGAGAGAUCACAGGUGGCUUAGAAGUUUUGCAAAGAGAGCAUACAUAGAGGCAAACAACAUGUGCUGUCCUUGCAAGAAGCACGUGUCCCCCGCUCUACCUCUGAUCCUCCAGAGCAUGGAUGGGGGGGCCUCAGGCUUGGGGCCAAAAUGUAUUCUUCCCAAACCACAUGCCCAGGCCAUACCCCUCUCCUCAACCGUCCUCUGCACCCUCCUCGACUGUACCCUCCUUGAAUUCUUCUUGCUUGUCUGGGUGGAAGACGGGGGUGUGUGUCUGAUUGCGCCGUGCCACACAAAGGCAAAAUUUGCACCAAUUGCUUCACUCACUUUUGCCCCUGCAUGUGGCCCCCAAAAGAAGGGGGUGUGGCCCUUGGGCUGCACAUGGUUCCCCAACACAGCCUAGUACAGAGAGAGAAAUGCCUGCACCCCAAUAUACUUCGACUAGAGCUGGCUGGCUCUCUCAAAGCAAUCGCCCCUUUCACUUUUGCUAUUCUUGCUCACACAUGCACGCAACACCCUCCCCCCUUUGUUUUGCUGGCUGGCUCCGUUCAGAAUAUGCUGGGGGAAAUCUCCCAACCAUCAGGAACCAGUAAUGUGCUCGUCAAGAAAAGAUACAGCUCAUCCCACGUCCGUGGCAUUGUUCUCAGUUUGGUUGGUUUCCCAAGGAACGGUUGGGACGCGUCACUCUGGGAAAACGCUCUGAGUUAAGGUGCCCCCUGCAUGUUGCUGCGCAUGGAUGCUGCAAGGUCUCAUCCAGAACACCCCUUCAAAUAUUUGCAGCUGCCACCUGAGAUCAGAUCAUUGGGCCGCCUCGCCCCGUCUUCCAUCUCUCAGGGUGGAAGAAACUCCGCCGUAGGCUUUUGAUUCAUGGACCAAGUUACCCACUGGGGGAAAAGUUACUUCCUAACCUGCUGUUAGUCAUCGGUUGCUUAAUGCUCCCCGAAGCUUGACAAACCCUCUUUGCCCCCUGCAAAAAAAUAAAAAAUCUUUUUUGUUUUGAACUCUGAAUCUGGGAAUCGGCCCGUCAAAUCAACUGGCUUGUCGUUUCUGCAGACGGGUGGGAGAAUGGGUUGUUACCUUAUAAAUGUGCAUGCUUCUGCAAUUUUUCCCCUCUUGUGUGCAUAGAGAAUAGCAAUGGGGAAGCUCUGGCCUAGGGAUUAAAUGUGGCUCCCUAGGCCUCUCUCUCUGGCCAGUGGGACUCUCCUCAGGCCACACCCCCUCUCCCAGGCCACACCCCUCUCCCCAGGCCACACCCCUCACCAGUUCUGCUUUGCACGCUCUGUGCAUAGCUGUCAACUUACAGAUUUGAAAAUAAGGGACCAGCAGCCUCUAAAAAUAAGGGAUCAGCAGCCAAAAUAAGGGAUUUUCCAAGGGGCACAGGUAUGUUCAACUUCUGAGCCCCUCCGAGCCAAAGGCAGAAAGCCCGGCCAGCAGCCAAACGAAGCCUCAAGCAGUGGUUCCCACAGCGCAGCAACCCGGGCAAAGGGGAUGCAGCAAGGAAAACCACCGUCACCUCUCUGCUGGGAAGCGCUGAGCAAAGGCGAGUCCCCAGGCAAUGCGGCCAAGUUGAUCGGCACAAGACAUGUAAGCUCCACCCCCCAGUCGUUCUUAGACUCCUUAUUGGGUGAGCAACGCAGCCAAGCAACACAGCUGGAGCCUCCCUCCUCCCUGGCCAGCAGGGAGGGAGGGAGAGAAGCUGCUUCCUUUGAAACCCGGGAAAUUUAAGGGACAUCAUCAAUGAGGGACAGCAGCGGGACACGGCGCUGGGAUAAGGGACUUUCCCGCCAAAUAAGGGACGGUUGACAGUUAUAACUCUGUGAACGUUUUUGCCUGCCCAGAAUGUGUUAUUGAACUUUGCAAUGGAGGGGAGGAAGAUAAUCAAACGCUGUGUGUGGCCCAUACAUACAAAUCCCCCCGCCCUGUGGAAUGUCCUCCUCUCAGAUGUCAAGGAAAUAAGCAACUAUCCUAUUUUUAAAAGACAUCUGAAGGCAGCCCUGUUUAGGGAAGUUUUUUUUUAAUGCUGUAUUGUUUUUAAUACUCGAUUGGGAGCCAGAGUGGCUGGGGAAACAGCCAGAUGGGCGGGGUAUAAAUAAAUUAUUAUUAUUAUUGUUAUUGUUAUUAUUAUUAAGAAUCCUGGGAACUGUAGUUUUUAAGGGUGCUGUGAAUUGUAGCUCUGUGGGGGGUAAACUACAUCCCCCAGAAUUGUUCUCUUUUCAUGGGAGGAGGAAUAUGCUUUUAAUCUGCUUUAAGUGUAUGGUGUAUAAGCAGCCAAAUACACUGCUGUCAGCUCUUUGUAAGAAAGGUGAGGUGCAAAUGCGAUAAAUUAACGUUGGGGGAGCCCAGUGAGAAGCCCCAGAUGCCUUUUCGUCAAGGCUUUGCACAGUCGCUGAGCUCUCUUACAAGAACGAAACUCAGCAAUGCUCCUGAUCCUUCGGAACAAGAUUGCUGAGUGGUUCCUGAGCUAUUUUGUAAAGGGUUUUUUUUUUGGUCAAAUUUGCAUCUGAAACAUUCUCCCCUGCUGAAAAAUGCAAAAGCUGAAGUGUGUGAAAAAUCAGCUUGGCUCUAAUCUUGGAUACAGAUAGUUUAGAGCAAUUCCCAGCUGGUAAAAAAUAAAAUAAAAAAAAAACCGCCAGCAUAAUUGUAGGAAUCGUUGUGGGGGGAUGGAUCUGACAAUUUUGUUAGCAAGGCAUCGUUUUUGAAAUUUGGAGCAUUAUUGCAUUAGGGAGCUAUAUUUGGGGAUGGCUGGCUUAAGCGCAGCUUGCUUAGUUGUUAACCCACCUAUGAUCAACUUAACUCUCCCACUGAAUGCAAAUCCAAUGUCUGCAUUCCCCCCCCUUUUUUUUAUCUUGUAAACACCGGAGGCUUCCCUCGGUGAAAGCAGGCGACUCUCUUUUGACUCUGAUGAGUUCUAGUAACAGUUACUAAGGGGCCUUAAAUGGAUCUGUAAAUCAGACGGGCUCUUGCCGGCGAGAUUCAUCGCUGGGAAAUGCCUGUACCGGUUGACUGGCAAUAUUUGGAAUAAGGAGUUGAGCAAUGAGGCGUCGGAAGCUGUUAUGUAAGGCACAACAGCUACCUAAACAGUGGAGGCAAACGUGUGUUUGUGGGCUGUGGGCAGGGGGAGAGAUUGGGCUGGAGAUUGCCAACCCAAACAACUCAUCCUGGUUUAGAAAGGAACAACUACGUGUGUCCUUUGAUUAAGUUUCCAGGUGCGCUGCACAGGAAUUCUUGUUCCUUUGGCAGACGUAAACGUCAGGAGGAUUUUAUGAAAAGAAAGGCCACCUAAAUAGAAGCCAGGUUAUAUGGGACUGCUCGGAGGAUGCGAUCCAUUGGAGCCUUUUCAGAUUUUCACAGGGGAAGAGAAGAGAUUUCAGUAAGGAAGAGGAAGAUUCUCCGCAUGUUUUAGACAGAGGGCCUUCUCGGUAGUGGCACCCGCCCUAUGGAACACCCCCCUUCAGAUGUGAAGGAAAUAAGCAGCUAUCCUAUCUUUAAAAGACAUCUGAAGGCAGCCCUGUUUAGGGAAGCUUUUAAUAUUUAAUGCUGUAUUGUUUUUAACACUCGAUUGGGAGCCGCCCAGAGUGGCUGGGGAAAAUCAGCCAGAUGGGGGGGGGUAUAAAUAAUAAAUUAUUAUUAUUAUUAUUAUUAGAAAACCCACACUAGGAUGUAAUGGCCUGCAGCACAGGCCAUUUUGCCACCUGAGGCAAAACAGGAAUGUGCAGCCCCACCCCCUUGCUGCAUCCCCACUGCCGGCACCACACCUCUCGUACCUGCAUGGAAGCAUUUGCAAAGCUCUGGCAGCCACGCGGGCAUCUGGUGAAAUCUUGCAAGAUCUCUCUGGAAACCAGUGCUGCUAGCAGUGGAGGCUAGUCCACCACCUGAGGUGGGUGCCCCACCCUGCCUCACCUGUGGGCCGGACCCAGUUAUACAUUGGAUAUGUGCAAGAGCCGGUAGGGUGGGUGUGUGGUGGUUAGAAUGUUGGACCAGGACCUGGGAAGCCAGGGUUCAAAUCCCCGCGUGGAAAAGUGGGAUAUAAAUGCAGCAAACAAACAAAUGUUAAAUCGCAAACAAUAAAAAUCCAAACCAAUAGUUCACAAAAUCAGGGUAUUUUAUAUCAGUCUUGUAAAUACAGUGGUACCUCGGGUUACAGACGCUUCAGGUUACAGACUCUGCUAACCCAGAAAUAGUACCUCGGGUUAAGAACUUUGCUUCUGGAUGAGAACAGAAAUCGUGCAGUGGCGGCGCAGCGGCAGCAGGAGGCCCCAUUAGCUAAAGUGGUGCUUCAGGUUAAGAACAGUUUCAGGUUAAGAACGGACCUCCAGAACGAAUUAAGUUCUUAACUCGAGGUACCGCUGUAAUAACAUGCCUCUGACAAAUAAGAAUUCCUUCCAAUUCAGUAGCCAGAUGUAUUGAAUAGAUAUAUUUGCAAGGCUGAAUUAAGAGCAUUUGUUUGAUUCCUUAAGAAAAAGAUCAUAAGGGCACAAUUAGACCCAUGACUGACUUGCUUUCCGUUUUUAAGAAGUCCAAUAGCAGCAGCUGAUGGGGGGUGGGGUCUCCUUCAGUCCUAGGCAAUGUGGGAAUAUAGAUAUAGGCACCUAUAUCUGUUUCACCUAAGGGUCAAGUAGUAGGCAUGGGGGUAAUUCUCACUGCAGAAAGGGCUAACUUCCCUCCCAGUGUGUCUGAGGGUAUGCAGGAAUUGGCCUGCUGCAAAAAACCGGAACUUACAUUCAUUGCCCUGCCCACAUUCCCCUCCGGCCCUGCUCUCUACUGGCACGCGGCCCUUGGAACGUAGCUCAGAAGCAAAUGUGGCCCUCGAGCUGCAAAAGCCCCCGCCCCCUUGAUCUAAGCCCCUCUUGAGCGGUUCUGUUGUAUCAGCUUUCGAGUACACCAAAAGGGGAGAUCGUCUGGGGUCUUUUGGAGUAAGCUACUUCCUGCAUGAUGAGAGACGGGUUUUUGUGUGUGUUUUUUGCAAAUGACGCAGAUGUUUCUACACCCUCCCUCCCCUUCACAGGGCCUGAGCUUUGUGGCUUCUCCGGUGUUCCCUGCACACAGCUGACAUCUUGAUUUGCAGUCUCCCAGAGACGAGGGCAUCGCUGCUCUCGGACACGGCCCGGCGAGGCGACUGGGCUGUCUUAUGCUCAGUUUGCUGCCAGCAGAAUCGCCAGCCCGUGAAAAGGGACAUUCCUGUGUGGAAAUUCUGUGGACGAUACAGUUCCCUGAUGCUUCCCUCACACACGCGCAUGCCCCCCCCCGAAAAAUCUGGCUUUUGUUGCACGGGAUUCCCCUUCUGUCAAUUUCUCCCUUCCUUUCGGCCUCCCCCGUUACACGUGCUCAGCAUCGGCAGUGCCUACCAGAGCAGAACGAGGAGGCAUAUUUUAAUGUUUAGCAGGAAGCCCCCGAUAGGCCUUUGAGAUAUUAAAAAGAUUUACAGCCCGCCUUUCACUUUUGCAGCAGAACAGCCUCUGCACGGUGGCUUGCGACACUUGUAAAAACAAGAAUCAAUGGAAUGAUUUGCAAAUAUCCUAACUGUAGAAACUAGCACACUGAGCGUAGCUGGAAGUCGGUUUAGCUGCAAGCAAAUACACGUCACCUCCAGCUCGGUAGAAUAUCUCAGUGAAAAGGAGCAGAAACUCUCAGGCCCGGGACUGAAUGCGGUCCCUCAAGCCUUUCUGUCUGGCCCAUCGGUCUUCUUGGUGCAGCACCCAGUUCAACUAUGGAACUGGCUGCCACAGGAGGCAUCGAUAUCCACUGACCUGGGUGUCUUUGAAAGAGGAUUAGACAAAUUCAUGAAGGCUAUACCUAUCCAUUCUGAAGGAAAUCAGCCCUGAGUGCUCACUGGCAGGACAGAUCGUGAAGCUGAGGCUCCAAUACUUUGGCCACCUCAUGAGAAGAGAAGACUCCCUGGAAAAGACCCUGAUGUUGGGAAAGAUGGAGGGCACAAGGAGAAGGGGACGACAGAGGACAAGAUGGUUGGAUAGUGUUCUCGAAGCUACCAACAUUAGUUUCACUAAACUGCAGGAGGCAGUGGAAGACAGGAGUGCCUGGCAUGCUCUGGUCCAUGGGGUCACAAAGAGUCGGACACAACUAAACGACUAAACAACAACAACAUCAAUGGCUGCUAACCACAAAGGCUAUUCUCUGCCUCCGUAGUUGGAGGGCGGUCAUGCUUCUGAACGCCGGUUGUUGGAAACCGCUGGAGGGUUCUCGUGCUCAUGUUCUGCUCCUUGGUUUCUCACAAGCAUCGGGUUGGCCACUGUGAGGACUAGGAUGCUGAACUAGACGGGCCUUUGACCUGAUCUGGCAUGCACUUCUUGUGCUCUUAUUGCCCAAGGAGAUGGAGGAAGGGAGCCCUUGGCUGUGCUGGUGUCCCAAUCACACAGAGCUCUCACACUUUCAAUACAGAGAAUCACAUGUUGGAAAAAAGAGGACCCAGCAGUGGUAAUGGGGCUAAAAGUGCAGCCCCUCACCCUUUUGUAUACUAGGGUGUGCCCCAAUGCAGGGAUGGCCAACAGGUAGAACGUGGUCUACUGGUAGAUCACGAGGGGUCUUUGGUAGAUCGUGGUAGCUUGCUGUUGCUGUUCUUUAGUCGUUUAGUCGUGUCCGACUCUUCGUGACCCCAUGAACCAGAGCAUGCCAGGCAUUCCUGUCUUCCACUGCCUCCCACAGUUUGGUCAAACUCAUGCUGGUAGCUUCGAGAACACUUUCCAACCAUCUCGCCCUCUGUCUUCACCUUCUCCUUGUGCCCUCCAUCUUUCCCAACAUCAGGGUCUUUUCCAGGGAGUCUUCUCUUCUCAUGAGCUGGCCAAAGUAUUGGAGCCUCAGCUUCAGGAUCUGUCCUUCCAGUGAGCACUCAGGGCUGAUUUCCUUCAGAAUGGAUCGGUUUGAUCAAGAGUCUCAUCCAGCACCAUAAUUCAAAAGCACCAAUUCUUCGGCGAUCAGCCUUCUUUAUGGUCCAGCUCUCACUUCCAUACAUCACUACUGGGAAAGCCAUGGCUUUAACUGAAAAAGCUCAACAACUUUGGUAGAUCACUGCCAGUUUUUUUAUAGUGGGAGUAGAUCUCAGUCUCUUGGACAUGCCUGCUAAUGCAUACAUAGGGCUCAUAGGAAGAAAUUCAACGUAAUGCUGUAGAAUCAUGGAAUCAGAGAAUUGCAGAGUUAGAAGAGAUUCCGAGGUUCAUCUGGUCCCCUCCCCUAUGUUCUGUUCUGGGGCUGCACAGGCAGAGGCGGAGCUAACUCCCGGGGAGCAGCGCGGCAAUGUCACCCCCCCCAGGGAUGACACCUGGGGCAGGGAUGACCGCACCCCCUUCCUCUGCCAGUGUGCACAGGGAGAGAAGAGUCCUUGUUCUGGCUUCUGCUAGUGGAACUGGUUAGCUGAAUACCACCCAUAACCUUGAUAUUUGGAAAUGGGUGGUGCAGAGGAUCCUGCUUGGCACUGAGGGAAGGUGGGGGGGGGAGAAUGCUGUGCCUUUUUAAGCGCUCCCAUUUCUGUCAGCCAAAGCGUCACGUGACCACGAAUACACCCCAAAGCGCACAGCGGCAAAUUGCAAUUUGCAUUAGUGCCCUGUUAAGAACAAAAAAAACCAGAGGGUGAUUGUGUAUUUGGGGUUAUUUAACCCUGAUUAAAAUCACAGUGAUUCUUGAGAAGGUGCCUGCAGGCAGCGGAACAUCUUAAGAGGUUUGGCUGCUCUGGCUUGCCAGCCCCCCCCCCCAAGUGCAGUCAGGGGGAGUCAGUGCACUGAGCUUUCAGAACAGGCACUCAGACAAGAACCUGACUUGCUCUAAGGCUAAGGUGAAUUAGUUACAGUUUUAACAACAAUAAAGGGCAAAUUUAGAGGAGGAAAGAGGAGGGGAAAUUAGCUGGGCAAUUAGAACUGGUCCUGAGAAUCCUGAUUAAGGGGGGCGGGAUUGAUUCGGUUUUCAUUCAAAGGUUCACCUACUUGGAUCACAUUUCCUGAAACCGUACGUGAACUGAAACACAGCAAUCCUUUGAAACCCACACUUCUCUGAAUUUUGCACUGCUGUUCUCCAGCCAAGUAAUGUGUAAAAAACAAAAACACGUACUGUAGUGAAGCGUGCAUUAAAAUGCAUAUAUAUCGGUGAAAAUAACAUGCAAGGAUGCAUUGCAUUAGGGGAAAGUGGCAUGCAAAACUCCAUAUCAGGCAAAAUUGCACCCAAAGAUGUGUACAUUAGGAGAAAUUCUUAGUAAAAUGUGGGUGGCUUCUCAUAAGGAUUUUUUAAAAAAUAAAUAAAUCACAAAACUGAUGUCAAGAACUGAAAAUAAGGAAUGAAGGUAAAGGCACAUUAAUAGCUUCACCCAUCCCUAACCCUAAGGCGUUGGUAGCUGCAGACUAAGAUUGGUGGCCACCACCUUCCUCACUUACCUAUUGGUGUGUUUGGUGAAUACCUGGAUGUAGGAUUGCAAAGUCAGGAGAAUUCCAGACUCUGAGGUUUCAGGGCCCAAACAUGAGACCCAGGGGUGGCUCCUCUUGAUGUCAUAGAGUGGGCCCUGCAGAUGCGAGGGAAGGAGGGCAGACUCGAGUACCUGUGCUGCAAUAUGCCACUCUGAAGCUUGCAAUAAUUAAAGGCACUCUUGCCCACCUGGAGAUUCAAGCCCUGCAACCACCACCUGAAGGGGGCCUGGCAAACAUCAGGUCAGACCUGGAGGUCAGGCAACCGUACCUAGAGCGGGGCAGUGUGCUCUAUGCAGUCAGCUGAUCAGCAGCCGCCUUUUGCUUGUGGCACAGUUGCAAAGUGGACAGAGUUGGCCUUGCCUCUUUGAGCUCUGAUUGACAGCCAUGCCACACCCCUGGGCCCAGCUGCUCCAUGCUUAGCCUGAUGGGAACUGUAGUCCCAAACAUCUGGUGGGCACCAGGUUGGCUGAGGCUGCACCGGGGUGCCUCUAUUUUCACCUUUCUUUUCUGUUUCUUUUGCAAUGCUAAAAUGUCUGGGUCACUUCUGGAAUCCACCCAGGUCCAACUUCCGAGACUGCAAGCAUGGCAAAGUGCUUUCCAAGUACUCAUAUUUUCCCCCACACACAUAGUUAUCUCAGCACUCCUUACAACAUCCCUGUGAGGCAAGCCUGCUUUGUGGACCCUCUCACCUCAAAACUGCAGACUGGGCCAGGGGCUGGGGCUGGGGCUGAAAAAUGAGAUUGAAUAGGGGCGUUAUUGGGACAGGGGUGAGAUCUGAACCGUGGGCACGCUCUCUUUGCUAAUACCCCUCUGCGGAGUGGAUGGCAUGUUUGCUGCCGCUGCUAAUACUAAAAAACCAAGCUGGGUGCUCUUGGUUUUGUUGCGAAUUGCUCAGCUUAGAAGCUUUAUCUCUGUUGCAGCUGUUCCUGUGGAGGGUCUGACUUGUUUAUCAGGAUCACGAGGAUUUUUUUUUUAAUGUUAUCUUUAGCCUAGGUUCAGCAUUAGGCCAGUUGACUGUGACAGUUUCCCCUCAGAACAUUUUUUCAGAAGAGAUUUCCAUCUCAGUGGGCGACUCCUAAGUUGCGGAAGGUGGCAUGAUGUUCUCUCUGGAGCUUUUCUGCCUCCAUUUUUUCCUCUCUCUCUCCUUCUCUCCCCUCCCUCCCCUCUCCACCCACAUCCUAUGCCCUGAUGUGCUGAACCCUGACAGCAGAGGACUCUGCAGAUCAGUCAUUGCGUUACGUGCCUUGAGAAAAGAAGGUUGUGUUGUCUAGUGCAGGGCUGUGCGCAUUUAAGUGUGUAGGCUCAUCGAGCAUAGAAUCCAGCAUCCUGAGAAUUUCAGCUGCCGCUCUCAAGAUUCUAGCCCUCAUGUAUUCAGCAGGUGACUUGAACGAGCCCAGGCAGUGUCUAGUGCAAGCUCAUAAACCUGGAUAGUGGCUUCAUAGGCAAGACUGAUCCAUAAUUGUCAACUUUUCCCUUUUCUUGCGAGGAAUCCUAUUCGGAAUAAGGGAAUUUCCCUUAAAAAAGGGGAAACGUUGACAGCUAUGGACUGAUCCCAGGCCAAAGGCCACAUCCAGUCAAGAACCAUCCAUGGUGCUCCUCUCCCAAUUGUCCAACUUCCGAACCUUGCUUUUAAAAAAAUGUUUGUACCUCAUUUCACAACUUGGAUGCAUGAUUUCUCCUUGUCAUAUAAGGCAACUGCAUUUGCAUGUAUAGCUCUAAUCUAGGAACGGGGGAGAAAGUUGAUUCGGUUCACAUUUGUAUGCAAAACCUACUUAAUUUGCACUUUAUGAACCGAAAUGCACGCAUUCUUCGAAAUUUGCACUUCUCCUAAUUUUGCAAUGUGGUUCUCCAGCCAAGUAAUGCAUGCACAAAUGCAUAUUACUGGGAUAAAGCGUGCAUAGAAAUGCAUAUUUUAGUGAAACCAGCAUUCAGAAAAUGCGUUACAUUGUAGCACCCUGCUUGUGGUUAACGCUUAGCUGGAAUGAAAUAUUCAACGCAGCAAUAGAGAAAUUAAAAUAAUAAUUUAUUUGUCAGACAAAUAAAUGAGAGACACAGUGGUAUAUGGAUACCAAAGCUCUGCCUACUCCAGCCCUGAUGGCCAGCACUUAUAUUUCCUCAGCCCAGCCCCUUGCUCCUCCUUUGGCUGCCUCUGUCCAAUCAGCCUGGUUGAAAUUCCUAUUGGUUGUUUGCUAGAACCAAUCAUAAAAGAUACACCCAUUUCCUAUUUCCUUUUAUGGGAGACAAAGAGCUAUAUUUCCUUGUAUCCAUAAAUGGCAGACAAGUAGCCAUAUAUCUUACAUUUACCUCGACCAGGCACCUCAAUUACCAGAUAACCUUUGGCCCCUGUUGCCCUAUUCCCUGCAAACCAGAUGGCUAAAGCAGAUGGUGCAUGGUUUUUAAUUUUUUUUUAUCUUAAAGAGAUCUUGAGUUCACCUUCUCACCCACCAUAAUAGGAAUCUAACAUAAGAAUCUAACAUUUCUUACUUUCUAAAUCCUUUGCAUAAUUACAUUUAAGCCAAUAUAUUUCAUACAUAACAUAGAUAGAUUUUUAGAAGCAAAGGCCUUUUCAAAUUAAAGGAAUUUAGUAAAAGCUAAGUUCUCUUAAGUUCUCUAAAUUCUCUGAAGCUUCAGAACAGCUUGGAGAGAAGCCUUUUUCCCUAACCAGCUGUUUCUAAAAGCAACCUCUUCAAUUUAACCUUUAACCUUAUGGCUCGAGUCUUCUGUUAAACAAUAAAUUUCACUAUUUACCAGCUCUUAAUUGUGUUUUUGCAGCUUGAUUGUAUUCUGGUCAGUGUGACCUUUUGCUCUCUGGCUCUAAUUUCCUUUUACAACCCUGAAAUACUUUUUACAACCCUGAAAUACUGCUAUUUAUAGCAGUGGGGCCCUUGAACAGCUGCCAGAGUAUUCAGCUGGUCUCUCCCUGGCAUGAGAGAUAAAAAUAUUUACAAAUAUAUUUUUUAAGCUCAAAGCAGAUCUUGAUUAGAUGCCUCAUUCCCCCCUUUCAAGCUCAAGGACCUUCACCCCAAGUGUCCUUGAUAGCUUGACCUUCAUCAUAUUCCUGAGGUAAAGCUCUGUAUAGGGCCAUAAUAUGAGGUAAAGUUUCAUUUGAAAUCAUCUUGCUAAUUGUACUUCUAAAACAUGAAAUGAUACAUGGCACCGUACAUAAAACCAUUACUACUACCGUCAAGAAAAACAAGCAAGACAAUAGUAUCCCUUUGAGUCCCGCAACAUUAGGUAACCAAUUGGUGAGCCAUCCCAUAUCCCAUCCUUCCCAUAUUUGUACUGGGACAUGUGCUAUACUCUCCAUCUUUGUGGCCAACACACGGAUUGCCUCACCAUUAUCAGAAAUGUUAAAGCAACAGGCAUUCCCUGUCAAGUUCAAGACUCCACAUAGGCCUCCCUGCCUGGCAAGUACAUAAUCCAUUCCCAUUUUCAGCUGCAAAAUGGCGGCUCUACUUUCAUCCAACUGUUGUGCAAUAAGUCUCAAACUCUGGGCCGUUGCAUUGGUUACAAGUUCCACUACUGCUUGCAAUCGAAUUAUUCUGUUUAGAUUAUAAAUAGGAUCCCGUGCCCCUUGUAUGAGCUCAUCAGGAUUCCAGGAGGCAGGCUCAUAAUAGGCUAUAAUGCGCUCUGGUGGCCAAUCAUCAGUAUCACUCCAACUUUGGGUACUUCCUCCUGCUAUAUGAGAAAUAUCAGCGUUUCUUCGUGUACGCUUUGCCGAACUAGUGGGCAUAAUCCACAUUGGUGGUAAUACCCAUCCCAGGAAGCAAGUCCCACUCCAUUUGGGAGGGAGUUGCUUGUAUGCCCAUUCUCCACAUAUCCACCACAACCAUCGGGUCUGAGGUUUUGGUACGUGGAGUGCAUAAGGCGAAAUAUCAAAGGGCAUAGAGUUCACAGUGCAGUAUGUUAGAUUGCCUUUUCUGUCACAGUUAUGUUCCACACCAGUUUCCAUGCAUGAAUAAAAGGAGGUGCACAGGGCAAGGUAUUCCGAGUUCGAUAGGUAGUACCGUUUGCCCAGGUUUGACUAUUCUUAAUAUAAUCCCAAGUAUAGUGGCAAUGAGAAGAGCCUAUCAUGGUAGAAUCAGCUGCAGCUGAUAAUUUAUGUACACAGAAUUCCCUUGCACAGGUAUAACUCGUAUUGGUUUAGUUGAGUUCCAUCCGGGAAAUUCUGUACUUCUGUUUGGUGUGGCAUUUCGCUUACCAUACCAAUGGCAUUUAAUGGUAUCGGUAAUAAGGGCAUACCUCCCUCUGAAUCAUCUGGUCCAAGAGAGCAAACAAGGCAAUUGGUCCUAUUUGUAACAUUGGCUACCAUCUCGGCUAAGCCUACCCACAUAUUGUGGUCAUGGCGGAAUCCAUAUUUAGCAAAUUUGGUCAGAUUCAAGGACCCUUCCCUUCCCAAGGGAUCAGGAUUAAUAAUAAAAUCAUGUUGAUGUCUAGUAUAUGCAUUUCUUCCACAAAAGAUUACCUUAUUGUGAUAACAAAAAUAUUAGGCCCAAUAUAAUUCCCCAAUGACAGAAAUGGGGAACCACCAAGACCAAAACAUAUAUCCCGAGGAUCCCCAAUGAGUAAUAUCCCUGAUAAUUGUUCCACGGGGGGGGGCAGUCAAUCAAUUGUAUAAGAGAAUCUUCCUGUUCACAAUCGCUGGUUCAGACGCUCCUCAAGCUUCAGGCGUGCGCAGGUCAGCCAGCUUCCAGGUUGUGGCUGCAGCAGGCCGGUCGUCUAAUGUUGCCCGUGACCUAGCCCGUUCCCGUAGGGCUAGAUACAGGGGUUUUGGAGAGAGUCAGUUUAAAAGGAUUAGAGGGGUCACCUUUGCACGUCCAACUGCCUUCGGACUUCUUCAAACGGGAGUGAUGAAUCCAGGGGUCACCUCAGCUACCUUCACCGCUGUUGGAGUAGAGAGCAAGACGGUGUAAGGCCCACGCCACUUAGGUGCAAGUGGAUCACGUUUCCACUCUUUCACCCAUACGCUAUCGCCAGCCUGGAACUGAUGAAUCGGCUCGGCAAUGCUGCACGGCGUGCGCUCGAGGGCCCACCUGUUAAGAGAAACAAAACACGGGAGAGAGAUUGCACUUGUCCCUGUGUCACAUGGUCUCCUAUUUGUUUGAGGUCAGCUGGAAUAUCCUGAACAAAGGAGGGUGGCCUCCCAUACAGGAGCUCAAAAGGUGACAACUUAAGUCUUUUUGUGGGUGCACACCGAACACGAAACAGUGUUAUGGGUAACACAUCUACCCAUCCCAAUCCUGUUUCCUGGGUUAAUUUUGCCAAUUGGGUUUUCAGAGUCCGAUUCAUUCUUUCAGUUUUCCCGAACUUUGAGGCCUAUAUGCUGCAUGCAGUCUCCAUUUCACUUGUAGGACUCGACAUACUUCUUGUACUACUUGAUCAAUGAACGCUGGCCCAUUAUCACUUCCAAUGCAUCUAGGUAAUCCAAACCUCGGGAUCAAUUCAGUGAGGAGUCUCUUAGUUACCUCUCGUGCCUUUUCAGUCCUGGUGGGAAAAGCUUCAACCCAUCCGGUAAGGGUAUCUACAAACACAAGGAGGUACUUGAAUCCCUUAGAAGGGACCAGCUCUGUAAAGUCCACAAUUAGGCUUUCCAUGGGGACGUAUCCCACAUGUUGGAUUCCAGGAGGUUGUACCGGUCCCUGCCUGGGAUUGUUUUUAGCACAAAGAACACAUUUCUGUGAAAUGCAAGUUGCUAAUUGUGAUAGGUUAAUAAUAUACAACUUCCGACUGAGACUCUCUCUGGUUGCAGUACCGCCAAGGUGAGUAGAUUCAUGAUAAUUUCUUACAAUUGUGCCUGCUAGGUGAUGAGGUACAUAAAUCCUAUUGUCCGGCAGGAUCAUCCAACCGUCCUUCACAACCGCUCCUUCCUGUUCAGCCCACUUCCUCUCUUCUGGGGUAUAGUGAGGUUUAAUUUCUUCUGGAACUACCUCUGGUAUGAGGGCUGCUAUAAAUCCUCCCACAGGCUUCUGGGCUGCCUCUCGGGCUGCUUUGUCAGCAGCAUGAUUUCCUCUGGUUAUUGGAUCCCUUCCACGUCCAUGACCUUUGCAGUGCAUUACAGCAAUCUGUUCUGGAGCCCAUACUGCUUCCAACAGGAUUUCUACUUCAGGUCCAUAUUUCAAGGCCUUCCCAUGGGCUCCGAUUAGACCUCUUUCUUUCCAUAGAGCUCCAUGUGCAUGCAGGGUUAAGAAGGCAUAUUUAGAAUCAGUAUAGAUGUUUGCCUUACAUCCGGCUGCCAAUUGCAGAGCUCUAGUUAAACCUAUAAGUUCAGCCUUUUGUGCUGAGGUGCCAGCAGGCAAAGCUUCAGCUUCCACAACUUCCUCAUUGGUGACCACAGCAUAUCCUGCUCGUCUGGCACCUUCAUGCAGGUAACUGCUACCAUCAGUAUAAUAUACAACAUCUGGAUUUUUCAAUGGUUCAUCUUUCAGAUCGGGUCUACUGGAAUACACUUCAUCCAUUAUUUGGAGACAAUCAUGUGAUUCUUCAUCAUCUACCUCUGGUAGGGGCAGCAAAGUUGCUGGAUUGAGCAUAUUCACUACUCAUAGAUGAAUCCUGGGAUUUUCACACAAUAGGCCUUGGUAUCUAGCCAUCCUUGGAUUCGUUAGCCAAUAACUACCCUUAUAUUCCAUGAGUGUCAGAACAGCAUGAGGUACAUUCACAUACAUCGUCUGGCCAAAAGUAAAUUUAUCAGCUUCUUUGACAAGGCUUGCAGUGGCCGCUACUGCCCUUAGGCAUGGAGGCCAUCCUUUGCUACUGAGUCCAAUUGUUUUGACAAAUAAGCUACUGGACGGUUCCAACUUCCUAAUCUCUGGGUCAGGACUGCUGCUGCAAUCCCAUUCUGUUCAUGUACAUACAGCUGAAAGGGUUUUUCCGAAUUAGGCAGUCCAAGGGCUGGGGCCUCCAUAAGUCGUUGUUUGAUAACUAAAAGGCUUGUUGCUGCUCAGGUCCCCAUACGAAUGGGUCCUUUUCUGCACCUCGAGUGCUUUCAUGUAAGGGCUUGGCCAGACUGCUGAAAUCAGGUAUCCAUAGUCUACAAACCCUGCUGUUCCCAGGAAUCCUCUGAGUUGUUUCCUUGUGGUAGGUUCCUUGAUAAGGCAAAUAGCUUCUUUCCUCUCUGGUCUCAAUGCUCGUUGUUGGUGUGAGAUGUCAAAGCCCAAAUAUUUGACCUUUCUAAACAUAACUGUGCCUUUUCUGGGAAACUCGGUAGCCAGCUUCCCAGAGCAAGUGGAGCAGUUCCUCUGUCCCUUCUUUACAGGUAUCAAAAUCCUUUGCCGCUAGUAUAAGGUCAUCUACAUAUUGCAGAACCACCUUUUUCCAGGUAUUGAGGGGUUACUUGUUAGAUCCUUCGCCAAGGCAGUGCCAAAUAAAGUUGGGGAAUUUUUGAAUCCCUGGGGCAAUCUUGUCCAGGUUAGCUGGCCUUUGUUCCUGUCAAAGGGUCUUCCCACUGGAAGGCAAAUAUAGGUUGGCUCUGUGGUGCCAGCCGGCAACAGAAGAAUGCAUCUUUCAAGUCCAAUACAGUAAAAAUUGUUGCUUCUGGUGGGAUCAAACUCAGCAAGGUAUAUGGGUUUGGUACAUUUGGGUGCAAGGUCUCGAUAGCCUGGUUUACGAGCCUCAAGUCCUGUACUGGCCUGUAUUCAUCUGUCCCAGGCUUCCGAACAGGCAAAAGGGUGUGUUCCAUUCUGAUUGGCAGGGCUUAAGCAGACCAUAUUUUAAUAGGCGGUCCAAAUGUUUCUGGAUGCCCUCUGCUGCUCGCUCGGGUAAAGGAUAUUGCUUUACAGAUACAGGGGUAGCCAUAGGUUUUAGGGUUACUACAAUUGGAGCUAUAUUCUUAGCCAUUCCUGGUGGGCUAUUUUCGGCCCAUACUCCUGGUGGCACUUGUAGGGUUCGGAGGAGCUUGUUUAAUUCUGUAUCCAAUGUGGGUUGGACUUGCAGGGCUGACAUUAGGCGCCAUGAUUGUUCCUUAGGUACUGAGAGGGAAAUUAUUCCUGCUGCCUUUGAUGGCAGUUUCAUUUCUGGACCUCGAGGAGUGAAGGUGAUUUGGGCCUGCAAUUUGGACAGCAUAUCUCUACCUAAGAGAGGCAUUGGACACUCAGGUAUAUACAAAAACUGAUGGGUUAAAUGAUGUCCCCAAUCUGGCAUUCUAAAGGUUGGAGGAAAGACCUCUUAGCUGACUGACCAGUGGCACUUUUAAUGACUACACUUUUGGAUGCCUUUUUCUGCAAUAGUUCUGGGAGUACUGAGUAUUCAGCGCCAGUAUCUAUCAUAAAGUCUAUUAAAUGGCUCCCUAAUUGAAUUUUGACCGUGGGCUCCUGGAAGCCUAACUUUAUGGAGUCCAGUCGUUCCUAGUCUUGGGUAAAAUCCUCCUCUGCCAGUCCAAUGAAAUUGUCUCUACUCCGUCCUUGUCCAGGUCUCUGAUAUCUUCCAUCUCGGAUCAUUCCCCGUCCCCGUCCCUGGUUUCUUGGGCCGGAGCCUGGGCCUGGGCCUGGGCGUACUUCUUCCAACCUCAGGGGUUCAGGACACUCCCGCUUCCAAUGACCCUCCUUCUUGCAAUUCGCACAUUGAUUCCUUCCCAGUGGUGGAUUCCUUCCCCGCCCUCUCCCUCCAUUUAAAGGGCGGUAGUCUUGCUUCACUGCUGUGGCUAGCAUCACCAUCUUUUCCUUCUGCCACUUCUUCUUCUCUUGUUUCUCAGCCUCAUCCCUAUUCCGAUAAACUCCCAAUGGAGAUCAUUUCUCUUGACCCGAAAGGCCCCCAUCUCCAUGCCUUCUGUGGUACCUUGGGUUACAUACGCUUCACGUUACAUACACUUCAGGUUACAGACUCCACUAACCCAGAAAUAGUGCUUCAGGUUAAGAACUUUGCUUCAGGAUGAGAACAGAAAUUGUGCUCUGGCGGUGCGGCAGCAGCAGGAGGCCCCAUUAGCUGAAGUGGUGCUUCAGGUUAAGAACAGUUUCAGGUUAAGUAAGUCCGGACCUCCGGAACGAAUUAAGUACUUAACCCGAGGUACCACUGUAAAAUAAAUGCGAAAGCAACCUGGAUAUAUUGCGUUAGGCAUGUUGUCUUACACCAAAAAAACCCAGUCUUUUUGAGACUCGAUGGUUCGCAAUGGCUGUUGAUGGCUUUAAAACUGACCACCUGCUUUUCUGAGCAUCUGGAGUGCAAGUAGCCACAACUGCUUGCAGGUCUGCAAGUGUUUGAAAUUAGUUUUCUUUCUUAGACAUGGCAGGCUUCAGAGGUGCUGCUGUUGCUUUGGGAUUAGCCAACUCUUUCUCCCUGAACACUUGCAACCUGCUCCACCUUAUACCCUUGCACAUUUCCUAAAACUGCGCAUAUGCCUUGACUGUCUACCUGCACACUUGCAACCCGCUCGACUUGUACAUCUGUACAUUUUUCUAAAACUAAAGAACAGUGUGUUGCAGUAGCUCAAGUGUUGGUUUUGGAUGGGAGAGCUCUCAGUUGAAAUCCUUGUUUAACCUUGCUGUUUCCUGGGGUGCCGGGUCAGGCACUCUCACCCCUGUGAGAACACCCCUUGCAGGGGCUGUUCUCAGGAUAAAGUGGAAAGGGGGACUUUUAAUGCCUGUGAAUCCCAACUCCCUGGGAAUCACAACAGGGGAGGACACUAAAAAUAGGGUUGCCAUAUAGUCCUCUUUUUCCAGGACACAUUCUCUUUCUUUAAAAUGGGUAUUUAAAAUGGGAGUCGUAGCGAUCCUCAGUUAAAAGUAGAAGUUGGCAAAUGUGUUCUCUUCUUUGCUUUUCAAAAUAUGGCAACCCUAACACUAGUUCUGUGGGUUAAACCACAGAGCCUAGGACUUGCCGAUCAGAAGGUCAGCGGUUCGAAUCCCCGCGACGGGGUGAGCUCUCGUUGUUCGGUCCCAGCUCCUGCCAACCCUGCAGUUCGAAAGCACGUCAAAGUGCAAGUAGAUAAAUAGGUACCACUCUGGCGGGAAGGUAAAUGGCGUUUCCGUGUGCUGCUAUGGUUCCGCCAGAAGUGGCUUAGUCAUGCUGGCCACAUGACCCGGAAGCUGUACGCUGGCUCCCUCGGCCAGUAAAGCAAGAUAAGCUUUCGAACUGCUAGGUUGGCAGGAACAGGGACCGAGCAUUGGGAGCUCACCCCGUCGCAGGGAUUCGAACCGCCGACAGAAGUGGCUUAGUCAUUCUGGAAGCUGUAUGCCGGCUCCCUCGGCCAGUAAAGCGAGAUGAGCGCUGCAACCCCAGAGUCGGCCACAACUGGACCUAAUGGUCAGGGGUCCCUUUACCUUUACCUAGCACCAGUUCACUCAGGUCCUGUCUGCAGGCUUCCUAUAGACAACUGAUUGGCCAUUGUGAGAACAGGAUGCUAGACUAAAUAACAACAAAACAAAAAAUUAUUACUUGUACCCCGCCCAUUUGACUGCGUUGCUCCAGCCACUCUGAGCAGCCUCCAGAAUGGGCCAUCCCCACUGUAGCAGGGCUCUUUUCAGGUACUUAUGUUCUAAUUAGGUUUGGCUAUUAGCAUAUAAAGCCUUAAAUGACAUGGAACAAAGUACCUAUGGCAGCAUCUUCUCUGCUACCAACCCAGCUGCUUUGCUCGUCAAAAGAUGCCCUUUCUUGUUGUCCAAUCCACAGUAGAAGCCAAGAGGGGAGUGAAACGAGAUAGGGAAUUAUCAAUGGUGGUGCCACAACUACCGAACUCCCUCUCAGAUGGCAUUCAGCCUGCAAAAAUCCAGAUAUCUUUGAGUGCUUUGCUUCAGAUUUGCUCCCUCCUCCUAGGCGCUGUAAAAGGAGAUGUUUCAAACUGAUAUAGCGGAUGCAUUGUUUUAUUAUUAUGGGCUGCGUACAACAACAACAGAACAACAACAACAAUUUAUUACUUAUACCCAAUUGGGUUUUUUGGCUGUACUUACUGUAACAACUUCAUGGUGAGUACCAACACUUUUCCCCCCCUAGGAAAUAAACCACAGGAAAACCCUAAAAUGUCUAUCAUUUGACGGAGAAGGGGGGAGAGAGAGAGAGAGAGAGAGAGAGAGGUUCUUUGCCUCAAAACCAUAACUUGAGAUUACCAUUCAAUCCAUAUGGAAGAGCUGUGGCAGGAAAUGAACAAUUGGUCCCCAGAUUUGAAAUGGUUUUCGCUGCGAUGCUCAAGGUGAUAAUAAAACAUGCCCGCUGUUCAGUCGCAGAGGGGAAUAAACAAGACAGGAAAGAAGAGAGCAAUGGAGGAAGAAGGAAGGAAAGAUGUUGGGGCUGAUCAGUUCACAUAAGCAUCUGAUAUUCACAUGCCUCUUUUGGCCUAGAAAUCAUAACGGAGAUUGCAUAAGAUUGGGCAUUCCUGCAAGAGUUGCAUUCUUAUUGUUUUCAGCUGUGACAGCCUCUCUGGGCAUAUUUUGGUCCUGGGUAAAAUGCCAUUGGUGUGGAGGGAGGGGGAGAGAGAGAAAGAGAAGCACGAAAGCAUCACGUGUUGAUGACAAAGGCUCUUUGAUGCCAUCAAGGCAUUCUCUGUUUUCUUUAGCAAGAUUUGUAUACCACUUGGUUGCAAGAAAGCCUGUAAGCGGUUUACAACGAUAUGAAACAAAGCGUGGAAAUUCUCGAUAAAAGAACAGUUUAAAAUGGGUGUUCCCUGUUCAGGGAAGAUUUUACAGUGGUACCUCGGGUCACAUAUGCUUCAGGUUACAUACGCUUCAGGUUACAGACUCCCCUAACCCAGAAAUAGUGCUUCAGGUUAAGAACUUUGCUUCAGGAUGAGAACAGAAAUCGCGCACCAGCGGCGCGGCAGCAGCAGGAGGCCCCAUUAGCUAAAGUGGUGCUUCAGGUUAAGAACAGUGUCAGGUUAAGAACGAACCUCCGGAACGAAUUAAGUACUUAACCCGAGGUACCACUGUAAUGUGUGACAUUUUAAUGUAUUUUUAAUCUUUGUUGGAAGCCGUCCAGAGUGGCUGGGGAAACCCAGCCAGAUGGGUGGGGUACAAAUAAUAAAUUAUUAUUGUUAUUAUUAUUAUUAUUAUUAUUAUUAUUUAGAAACACUGAAAAGAUAACAGUAGCCCCAAAGAGAAAACACAUGUAAUGUUUCUGCAUGUUUAGGAGAGGUUUGGCUAAACGAACAUGCUGUGAGCAAGUGCCAGAAAGUGUCAAUAGGUAGGGAGUUCCAAACUGCAGAUGCUCCCAAACUGAAAGAUAAUAGAACCAUAGAACGGUAGAGUUGGAAGGGACCACGAGGGUCAUCUAGUCCAACCCCCCGCAAUGCAAGAAUCUUUGGCUCAACGUGGGGCUCAAACCCAUGACCUUGAGAUUAAGAGGUUCAUGCUCUAGCACCUUGUAUGCGCAGAGUAUUAUGUGGCACCUGCUACCAUUUCCUCAGCUGAAUGGCCGUUUGAUGUUUUUAUCCAUCUGAACAGGCCUGUCACCCUAGGGGGUUAACUCUUGGCAACCCCACUGUGGUCCCAAUCCACAUUGGACACCUUUGGGGUCGUCCCAGGGGGGAUAAGCUGGAUCUGCUUCGCACUGUCUUUUCAAUAGCAGUGAAAACCCACUGCUGCAAAAACAAAACAAAACCUCACCUUGUGCAAAGCUUGUGUAAACUAAACAAGGAAGACGCACCACCACAAAAUGGCCACUAGGGGAGAUGGCCUUGGGAAAAAAGGGAAUAUGACAGAUUUCAUGCAGGGUAAUCCUAAUAGAUCAUGCAUAGAUAUCAUGCAUAGGUAAUCCUAAGAGGGACGCGGGUGGCGCUGUGGGUAAAACCUCAGUGCCUAGGGCUUGCCGAUCGCAUGGUCGGCGGUUCGAAUCCCCGCGGCGGGGUGAGCUCCCGUCUUUCGGUCCCAGCUCCUGCCCACCUAGCAGUUCGAAAGCACUCCUAAGUGCAAGUAGAUAAAUAGGUACCGCUUUCUAGCGGGAAGGUAAACGGCGUUCCGUGUGCUGCGCUGGUGCUGGCUCGCCAGAGCAGCUUCAUCACGCUGGCCACGUGACCCGGAAGUGUCUCCGGACAGCACUGGCCCCCGGCCUCUUAAUUGAGAUGGGCGCACAACCCUAGAGUCGGACACGACUGGCCCGUACGGGCAGGGGUACCUUUACCUUUACCUUAAUCCUAAUAGGCUAUGUUUCAUUUGUUUAUUUAAAAGCAUUUAUAAACCAUUUACUGUUGCUUAAAAUCUCUAGGUGGUGCACAGCAUCAAAACAAUCAGCAAAACUUGGCAAUAUCAUGAUGUCAGCCUGGACAAGUCUUUGAUCUCACGCAGCAGGCUUCCCUUGGUUUCCAGGUGUUUCCCUUUCCUCUCAAGUAGGCAGCUAGCUGGGCACUUUGUUAGCAGCCCUGAAAAUCCUGCCUCGUUCCCUUGUCUCCUCUCUUCCUGUGUCCCUGGAGCAGAGGAGGGAAAUCUGAGAGCCAACCAGGAACCUGCAUUGCUGUUGUGAAGACUUCUGGUCCUCUUGGGGCAGUGACCUAACGAUUCAGUGGUUCUUUGAGGUCACUGGGAGUGUGGACAUCUGCUGGAAGGGGUCCUGUUCCCCCAGCUCUUCCUCCAAGGAGAUCUCAGGGUCCAGGAGUGAACCCUAGCAGUGAGUUUUCCCACCAACUAUACACUCUGGACAGCAUCUUGCAAUGCCAUCUCCCUGAUAGAUGUACCUGUCUGAGAGUCCUGCUUGCAAAUGGUUAUCUGUGGCAUUCACAUGUUAAAUGAGCUUAACAUCUGUGUGCACAACGCUUAAACUUGUAACGUGUGAGGGGACUGUUCAGUUUUGCAUUGCGUAAAUCUAGCUUUGGAAUUCCAGUGGUGGGGUGGGGAGGCACAGGUGUGGGCUAGGAAGCCUCCCUGAACCUUUGUAAUUCUGUAUCUCAAUGUUACCCAGCACAUUUUCUCUCAUAAGGGUAGCAUUCCAGUUUGUGCCCUGGCACAGCUUUCCUGAAAAAAGUAAUGCAUCCAUAUUGAUCAUCUUUCUAUGCUUUGGCUACUAAACAGCCUGCUAAAUAUAGAAGCCUAUCAUCAAUAUCAAUGCUCAAUUAAUUUCCAUUUGUGGAGUCCAGUUGGAAAGCAGGAGGAGUGCUUUUUGGACAAACACCAAUGGUCAGUAGCUUUAGAAAACCACUGAGAAGCGAAUGGGAUUAUCUGGCAGCAGUGUGUUUGUGUGAGAGAGAGGUAGUGUGUUAGGAUUUGUGCUACGUUUUAGUGUCUCAAAUGUAAAGAGGGAAGUUUCAGGUUUUUCUUUUAACUAUUUGGUUUCAUACAGUAAUGAUUAUUCUAACUUCUGAGAAAUUUACUUAAAAAUUAAGGGUAUCUCAAGGUGCAGAUAAACCUAUGGAUUUUGUCUUCAGUUGGAGAUACUUUUUACUUACAUGACAAGCCAAUCACAGAGAUGGCAAGGCCCAAUGAAAUAUGUGUGUUUUUUAUUUUAUUCAUAAUAUCUGCUUUCGACUCUUGUUGUAACAUCUAAUUCAAUGAGUAACCUGUUGAGAAUGGCCUUUAUUUUAUGAGGUAAUGACUGUGAACCCUGGGGUUUCGGGGGGAGGGGGAUUGGUACUUCUCGCUCUCUCUUUUAUUUAUUUCCUAUUUCCUAUUGGAUUGUUACUUUAACUUCAUAAUAAAGCCUGGAAAAAUUAAAAAAGCUAAUGUGGAAUUUUAAUGUGGAAAUUUAAAAAAGCCAGAUGUGGAAUUAGCAGUGCCAAUCAACAAGGUUCAUGAAGAAAAUGUUAACUUGUCAAAUGAUCCUUGAGGAUUGUGGUUUCCUUUAGCCAGAAUGGAAACAAGAUGCCAACGGCCUCAGACCAGAAAUUGUAGUUGCAGGAGGAUUCGGGAAAAUUAUUCAAUGUGCCACCAUAGUGAAGGAAGACACUGCUGGCUUGUCCUCUGCUGCAGUGUAGCGCCCCCAUCAUAACAGAUGGCCAGGGGUGGUACUGCAGCCUGGCCCAGCCCCACCAUUAAGCAGAGGGAGGCAGGUGUUUCAAGCAGCAGGUGCUGGAGGUGUUGCCGCCAGCCCACUGGCUGUCCCCCCUGUCGCCAGUGGUUAAUGACUGUGCCACCCUCAAAUAAAAAUGACUGUCCCUGCCCCAGUUAGACCGCUUAAGUGAAGAAAGCUUAGGGUAACUAAAAAUAUGAUCUUUGUAUGGAAGGGCUGUGAUGGUAGCUGCUGCUGCUGUUGUUGUUUAGUCAUUUAGUCGUGUCUGACUCUUCGUGACCCCAUGAACCAGAGCACAUCAGGCAGUCCUGUCUUCCACUGCCUCCCGCAGGUCAAACUCAUGCUGGUAGCUUUGAGAACACUGUCCAGCCAUCUCGUCCUCUAUCGUCCCCUUCUCCUUGUGCCCUCCAUCUUUCCCAACAUCAGGGUCUUUUCCAGGGAGUCUUCUCUUCUCAUGAGGUGGCCAAAGUAUUGGAGCCUCAGCUUCACGAUCUGUCCUUCCAGUGAGCACUCAGGGCUGAUUUCCUUCAGAAUGGAGAGGUUUGAUCUUCUUGCAGUCCAUGGGACUCUCAAGAGUCUCCUCCUGCACCAUAAUUCAAAAGCAUCAAUUCUUCGGUGAUCAGCCUUCUUUAUGGUCCAGCUCUCACUUCCAUACAUCACUACUGGGAAAACCAUAGCUUUAACUAUACAGGCCUUUGUUGGCAAGGUAGUACUGAAAAAACAGAACAAACCCCUAUGCUCAGCAGCUGUACCAGGGCACCAUGCUCUUUGCCCAUGGAUCCAGCUGAUGGGACUUGGAGUUCUUGCAACACACAAACUUGAUUCCCCAAGCCCUGAAGUCUUCCGUGUCUACAAUGGGAGCAUCAUAGAGGCUGGAGCACUUUAAACAGGCCCAGAAUAUCCCACUCCUCAACAGUGGGCAUCCUGGGAUAUUUUCAGCACUGCUUUCUUCGGUGUGAGUUUUCUUUCUCUCUUUCUGUGAUGUUGAUGGAAGAACUCUGGUAUGGAGACAAGGAAUUCACAGGGCACUGGUUUAAUGUUGGUCGCUAGUAGGAAUGGAUGAAUCUACCAAUUUUGGUUUCUCUUAGUUUUUCUUCUUGCCAACAUUAACUUCAGCUGGUCUCAUUUCAGCAUAUUUGUGAAAGGUCUGCUUAGAAAUGUGCAUGCAUUUUUACUUCUCCCAAUAUAUGCAGUUUUGCCUAAUAAUAAUUUUAUUAUUUAUACCUCCGCUCAUCUGGCUGGGUUGCCCCAACCACUCCGGGUGGCUUCCAACACAUAUAAAAACGUAAUAAUAUAUCAAACAUUAAAAACUUCCCAAUACAGGGCUGCCUUCAGAUGUCCUCUAAAAGUUGUGCAAGCAAUAAACAUUUUGUGCAAGCAAGCUCAUGAAAUACAUUGUAGUGUUGCACAUUAUUUUCACUAAUACGUGUUUUCUUGUGCCCACUUUUUCGUCGGAGGACUGCAUCACAAAAUUCAGAAAAGUGUGUGUUUUGAAUGACAGCUGGGUUUUCAGUUCACUUACUGGCUCAGGAAGUGCAGAUUACUGAAUGAAUUUCUCCCCCCGUCUUUAGCUGAUGGUUUGUUAAAUUAAAUGUUAUUCUGGCGGGGAAGUAGGGGGAAGAGUAAAUAUGCCCAAAGGAACAGAAGGUUUGGUAUUGUUAUUUUUUUUGCUGCCACCUUGAAGGCGUCUCUUCUUGCAUGGAAAAUCCCUUGCCUGAAUCUCAGGAAAUCAUCUUAAAGCGCUGCAGGGGAAAAAAUAGAUGGAAAGGGUAAAGGGAAGGACAUGAAGCUAAACAAAUGGAAGAGUAAAACAAAAGCAAAGCAGCCGAAAGGCCCUUCUGUGCCUUCGAGUUGCGAUCUCUAGUCCCCAAACGCAAAGCAAAAACAAACACGCUAACUUCAGCACUCAAUGCAAGGGCUCUUCCCAGCUUGCCAUAAUGGAUACCGUAUCUCCCUCUUCGCCGCCCCUGAGGCUAUUUGUUGCAUUAGCAGUAAAACAGCAGACCGGAACCAAAGGGAUUGGCACAUCAGCUGUCUGGGCACGGGGUAAAGUCUGGGGCUCCCUUGCCUCACACAUCGUGGUUUCCAGCAAGGAGAGGAAAGGCUGGUUUCGCCGUUCGUAUCCAAGGCAGAUCAAGACUUGGUGCUCCCUUGAGCUGUUGCGGUUAUUGGCUGAGAUCCCUCUUCAUCUCUCUCUCUCUCUCUCUCUCUCUCUCUCUCUCUCUGCUCCAAUAUUUAGAGCUCUGUCAGGAUUCAUCAUCAGGAUCCAUCAACAUCACCAGAAGCAGCAGCAGGCAGAGUGUGGAGCGCCCUUCCUUAGCUGCCUGAUUCACCUUAGAGCCCCAAAUAAGUUGUUGACCUUCCCCAUCAUUUAGCAAGAGCAAUCAUGUACAUUUGCCUAAUUCUUACAAGGCCACAGGGAGGCGGGUGGCGCUGUGGUCUAAACCACAGAGCCUAGGACUUGCCGAUCAGAAGGUCAGCAGUUCGAAUCCCUGCGAUGGGGUGAGCUCCCAUUGCUCAGUCCCAGCUCCUGCCAACCUAGCAGUUCGAAAGCACGUCAAAGUGCAAGUAGAUAAAUAGGUACCGCUCCGGCGGGAAGGUAAACGGCGUUUCCAUCUGCUGCUCUGGUUGGCCACAUGACCUGGAAGCUGUACACCGGCUCCCUCAGCCAGGAAAGCGAGAUGAGGGCAGCAACCCCAGAGUCGGCCAUGACUGGACCUAAUGGUCAGGGGUCCCUUUACCUUUACUACAAGGCCGCAGCUUUCCCUGGUGCAGAUGCUGGUUUGUUUUCAGCCUGGUAUGCGCUCAGCACUGGAUGCAGGCACAAGUUUUUCCUUCUGCCUCCUCUGUUCUUCUAUUCCCUCUCGGUUGCUGGAAGAAAGCAAGAUGCCCAGGACUGCUACUGAAAGGGCUUUUGAACCCAGGAUGUUCUUAAGCAUGGGAUUAAGCAUUUUAAGGGAUGCUGAGAAUUUCUGCCAGGAGUCCGAAUGUGGCCCUUGUAAUUUCUCUAUUUGGACCUCAGGCCUCUCCUUGAACUAUGGUUGUGUGGCUGGAGGAUAAGAGUGGGUUGCACAGGUGGGUGUAGAAACCAGCCUUCUAAAAAAUGGUAAAAAUUUGCAUUCAUUACUUCAACCGCUUUUGGCUCUGGCUGCGCCCACCCCGGUAUGUGGCCCUCAGAAAGUGUCCCCCAGAAAGGGAAUGAAAAGGUUUCCCCACCGUUGCUCUAAGGCAGCCUUUCUCAACCUGUGGGUCCCCAGAUGUUGUUGAACUACAACUCCCAUCACCCCUAGCUAGCAAGGCCAGAGCUCAGGGAUGAUGGGAGUUGUAGUCCAACAACAUCUAGGGACUCAUAGGUUGAGAACCACUGCUCUAAGCAGUUGCAAAGCACUUAAGCUCAGCAGAAAAGUGUUUGUGUGCAGAAGAUCCCAGGCAAGCUCUGGAAGAAUCCCUAGAGAGGUGCCCUUGGUCAAUGUAGACAGUACAGAUGUAGAUGAAGCAGUGGUCCAAUUGAGGGCCAGAUCCACACCAUAUGUGCUGGUCCCAUGGGUUACCCGAGAGGUGAGGUCCAAGUCUGGUCUGUGGUCAAAGAUGCAAUGUGGAGGCAGUCCGUAGUAGCUGAAGCUGGGUGCAGGGCAGGGAGUCGGGUGAAGUCAGGAACAGGCUUGCAAGCAAGGAGCCAGGGCAAGUCAGGAGCUCAGGCAGGAAAGCAGGACAGGGUUCAGGCAGGAACUAGCAACCAACAAUGUUGCACCCACAACUUGGGACUGGGGCUGGCCGGCUUUUAUCUGCCCCGAGGCAUAGGGAGGCCUCGAUCCUCUGGUGACUCGCCUCUUCUGGCCUGGAGCACCUGCAGGCAAUGGGUCCUCCACCACCUCAGGAGUCAGAGCAGACUCAGCUGGUGCCUGCACCUGAGGAUCCAGCACAGGUGAGGACCCUUCAGGCUCAGGCCCCAGCCCCGGCUCAGCUGGUUCUGGAGGCGGGGAAUCCUGUGCAGGCUGGGAUCCCUCUGGUUCAGCAUCCGAGUCCGAAUCCCAGGCCAUCACACCAUACCUUAAAAGCAUAUCUGAACCACAUUUGAAACACACGACUUUCUCCAAAGAAUCCUAGGCGCUGCAGUCCCCUCACAAAGCUAUAACUCCUCCAGCACCCUUAGGAAACUAAAGUUCCCAGGGCAACUUCUCAUGCUCCUGUAUUUAAGACUGACACGUGGCUGUAAAUCUGCUUGGAUCAGGUUUUGAAAUAUAUGAAAGGCCAUGCAGGAAGGUGGCUCUGGCUUCCCAUUUCAACCUCCCCCUCUUUUUGAGUCACCCAUGAGAAAUGUGCUCUUGCCUAUGAACUGACAGAUUUGUCACUGCUCUUCUCUGGUCUCUUGUGAAUACUUUUGCUUGUUUGUCCCAUCAGGCAUUCUGGAAUCACUUGAGGCUGCUUGGUGUUGCUUUCGGCAAUUUUUUUAUACGUACAAUUCAUUCCUCCAUCCAUUUUCACCUCCAGCUCCACCCCACAACUGGCGUGUGGCCCUCAGAUUAAUGUUAUAUCUGUAGUGUUUGUGUGUGUGUGUGUCUCCGCUGCCUUGGGAACAUUUCUGUUGGAAGGUGGAUUAGAAAUAUAGUUAAAUAAAUUGAACUUUUAUUCUUUUUGUCUUCUUAAAAAGGUUGAUUACCAAAUUUUCUAAGCAGCUUACAUAAAAAUUACAAAAAGCAUACAGUUCAUAACAUCUAUUAAAGUUACUUUAUUUUUCUGUGCAUAAGACGAUAUUUUUUUUGCAAUUUUUUAAAGUUUAAAAUUGGGGGUCGUCUUAUACACAGAAUUAUUUAUUUCUUAAUUUUGGGCUCAAAAAAUUAGGGGUCGUCUUAUACACGGAAAAAUACGGUAAUGAUAAAAACAGUGUCUUCCAGCCAUCACUUCCGCCCCCCCUCCCAGAGUUGUGUCCGUUUUGGAAGUGCAGUCAUUAUCGUCUCCCUCCUUCCUCUUCUCUUUUUACAAUUCUGCUCCUCUGCGUUGUAUGAAUACAUCCGUUUCAUCCCUGUUGACAGGAAUGACACAGGUACAAUUCCUCCACCUUACCCAAAUCUGUGGGCAUCUGCGGGGUGCCCUAUUUCUUUCACUUUUCCUUUCCACAACCCAUCUGUGGGAGAACUGACAACUGGCAAGAUUGGGGGGAAACCAUGUCAGUUUCGCUGGAGUUUCAUUGGAAGGGAGGGCGGUGAAGAAAAUGGCAUUUGGCAAUGCGACACAGAAACGUUACCCAGAUCGUCACCAGGUGCAUGAUGAUUGAUUGCAUCUGGGUCUAGCUGCACAGGAUCAUAUGUGCACACACCAUACACUUAAAGUACAUGACCCCCCCCCCCAAGAAUCCUGGAAAUUGUAGUUUGUCAAGAAUGCUGGGAAUUGUAGCUCGGUGAGGGGUGAAUCACAGCUCCCAAGUUUCUUUGGGGGGAUUUUUCGGGCCUGUCUUCAGGGCAGGCUGGUAUGGAAGUUGUUUCUCUCUCACCAGAAAAGGAAAUGCAAAACUGGGGACACCAUAGAGUGGAGGAAAGAUUCCCAAGUGAUCAAUAAAGGGCUGGAAUGUGCACAUGUGAUCUCAACCUUAGAGAUUAGAAGUGAGGUCCAGCCUCCCCCUCCCCACUUUUUAGCGAAAGACCCCACAGCUUCUUAGAAUCAUAGAGUUGGAAGAGACCACAAGGGCCAUCGAGUCCAACCCCCUGCCAAGCAGGAAACACCAUCAGAGCACUCCUGACAUAUGGUUGUCAAGCCUCUGCUUAAAGACCUCCAAAGAAGGAGACUCCACCACACUCCUUGGCAGCAAAUUCCACUGUCGAACAGCUCUUACUGCCAGGAAGUUCUUCCUAAUGUUUAGGUGGAAUCUUCUUUCUUGUAGUUUGGAUCCAUUGCUCCGUGUCCGCUUCUCUGGAGCAGCAGAAAACAACCUUUCUCCCUCCUCUAUGUGACAUCCUUUUAUAUAUUUGAACAUGGCUAUCAUAUCACCCCUUAACCUCCUCUUCUCCAGGCUAAACAUGCCCAGCUCCCUUAGCCGUUCCUCAUAAGGCAUCGUUUCCAGGCCUUUGACCAUUUUGGUUGCCCUCCUCUGGACACGUUCCAGUUUGUCAGUGUCCUUCUUGAACUGUGGUGCCCAGAACUGGACACAGUACUCCAGGUGAGGUCUGACCAGAGCAGAAUACAGUGGCACUAUUACUUCCCUUGAUCUAGAUGCUAUACUCCUAUUGAUGCAGCCCAGAAUUGCAUUGGCUUUUAAGCUGCCGUGUCACACUGUUGGCUCAUGUCAAGUUUGUGGUCAACCAAGACUCCUAGAUCCUUUUCACAUGUACUGCUCUCAAGCCAGGUGUCACGCAUCUUGUAUUUGUGCCUCUCAUUUUUUUGCCCAAGUGCAAUACUUUACAUUUCUCCCUGUUAAAAUUCAUCUUGUUUGUUUUGGCCCAGUUCUCUAAUCUGUCAAGGUCGUUUUGAAGUGUGAUCCUGUCCUCUGGGGUGUUAGCCACCCCUCCCAGUUUGGUGUCAUCUGCAAAUUUGAUCAGGAUGCCCUUGAGUCCAUCAUCCAAGUCGUUGAUAAAGAUGUUGAAUAAGACCGGGCCCAAGACAGAACCCUGUGGCACCCCACUAGUCACUCUUCUCCAGGAUGAAAAGGAACCAUUCUUGGACAUCUCCUUGCGAGAAGGGUAGCUGAAGGCAUGCCUUGUCCCUGGAUCAACUUGCCUUAGUCUCUUUGAUCUGUUGGGAGUCCCACGGCUCGGGGGGUGGGGGGUGGGGGAGAUAUGUUGGGUGGUGACACGAGGUAGUGCCUUCUCUGUGGUGGCACCCCAGUUAUGGACUGCCAUCCCCUGGGAAGUGAGACUGGCCACUGACCUUGUUGACAUUUCGACACUAAGGAAAGGCCUUUCCAAGGUGUUAGUAUGAGUUGCUGCUGUGAUUGCAGUCAUGUUGGCUGCACAAUAUGUUUUGUGACCAUCUUUCAGUUGUUUUUGAUGCGGGUGGCGCUGUGGGUUAAACCACAGAGCCUAGGGCUUGCUGAUCAGAAUGUCAGUGGUUCGAAUCCCUGUGGCGGGGUGAGCUCCUGUUGCUCAGUCCCUGCUUCUGCCAACCUAGCAGUUCGAAAGCACGUCAAAGUGCAAGUAGAUAAAUAGGUACCGCUCCAGCGGGAAGGUAAACGGCGUUUCCGUGCUCUGCUCUGGUUUUUCCAGAAGUGGCUUAGUCAUGCUGGCCACAUGACCUGGAAGCUGUACGCCGGCUUCCUCGGCCAGUAAAGCGAGAUGAGCGCCGGAACCCCAGAGUCGUUCACAACUGGACCUAAUGGUCAGGGGUCCCUUUACCUUUUACCUUAGGUGCUACUGGAUCAUUUCUCAUUUUGCAUCUUAUAUUUACGUGUUCAUCGUUGUAACUGGCUCUGAUAUUGUGAAAUGGAAGUCGGGAUAGAAGUAUGUUAAGAAAACAAACAGGGAGCUAGCUUAUAUUGCAUCUCAGCUGCCCUUUUUUCAUUGCAAAAUGCUGUUACACAUUCAGUACCGUCUGCCAGUCCUAGAUUCUAUACUGUAAUUAGUUACUUUAUCAUGUCCACUGGUGCUUAAUUGCACUUGUUUUCUUAAUUAUGUGGUGCAAGACUCGUUUGACCUUAACAUGGCUGUGCUUGGGUAAAAGAACUUCAAAGGUGGAACUGCAAUGUGAAACCACUGAAUUGCAGUUGAUCAGGAUAUUCAAUCCUGCCACUUGCGUCCUGAAUUGAGAUUAGGGAUUGUCAUUGCACUGCAUGUGUUAACUAGUUUGCCAGUGCCAGGAUGCUUGCGUUACCACCAACACUGCCUUGUUGUCACUGUAACUAUUUUGCUUUUCCAUAAUUAUCACUGUCCUUAUUGCAGUCUUGUUUCCUCCUCUCAUCUCCUCUCCACCCCCUCUGCUCUCCCCCACAGGAAAUAUGCACCUGUCUAUUUACCUACCAAUUUAACAUUACCUUCCAUGCGUCUGGGGACGCGGGUGGCGCUGUGGGUUAAACCACAGAGCCUAGGAUUGCCGAUCAGAAGGUCAGCGGUUCGAAUCCCCACGACAGGGUGAGCUCCCAUUGCUCGGUCCCUGCUCCUGCCAACCUAGCAGUUUGAAAGCACAUCAAAGUGCAAGUAGAUAAAUAGGUACCGCUCCGGCGGGAAGGUAAAUGGCAUUUCCGUGCACUGCUCUGGUUCGCCAGAAGCGGCUUAGUCAUGCUGGCCACAUGCCCGGAAGCUGUACACCAGCUUCCUCGGCCAAUAAAGCGAGAUGAGCUCCGUAACCCCAGAGUCGGCCACGACUGGACCUAAUGGUCAGGGGUCCCUUUACCUUUACCUUUUCAUGUGUCUGAUGAAGUGGACUUCAGUGGGUCACUAUAGCUUAUGUCGUAUAGUCUUUAGGUUGGCACCAGGCUCUUUCAUCGUUUUUGCUGUGGCAGACUAAAUGCAGACACACCUCUGGAAGUUGGUUUUUUAUUUGUUCAGUGGGGAAUGUUUACUUUUCCCUGUGCCACCAGGAUCAUAACAACCGCUGGCUUACAUUUUUGAUAACAAAGGGCUGGAUCCAUGCAUUUCCCAGCCUCUGAGUGAUUCUGGAAUGUCUGGACCUCGCAGCGGCAGUGCCCAUGCCUUGCAUGCAGAAGGUCUCCCUAUAGCAGUGUGGAGUAAUGAUUAGAGUGUCACACCAGGAGUAAAGGUAAAGGGACCCCUGACCAUUAGGUCCAGUUGUGAAUGACUCUGGUUGCGGCGCUCAUCUCACUUUACUGGCUGAGGGAGCCGGCAUACAGCUUCCGGGUCAUGUGGCCAGCAUGACUAAGCUGCUUCUGGCGAACCAGAGCAGUGCACUGAAACAUCGUUUACCUUCCUGCCAGAGUGGUUCCUAUUUAUGUACUUGCACUUUGAUGUGCUUUCAAACUGCUAGAUGGGCAGGAGCAACAGGAGCUCACCCUGUCGUGGGGAUUCAAACCGCUCACCUUCUGAUCGGCAAGUCCUAGGCUCUGUGGUUUAACCCACAGCACCACCCAUUCAAAUCCCCACUGGACCACGAAGCUCACUGGGUGACCUUGUACCAGUCACUUCCUCUCUCAGCCUAACCUACCUCACAGGGUUGUUGUGGGCAUUGAGCAAGGCGUUGAGCAUGCCCUCUUGAGCUCCUUGGAGGAGGCGGGGAUGCUGGGAUAUAAAUGCAAUAAAUAUAAUGAAAUAUCCAGCAUCUCCUGCUUAAGAAUCUUAGGUAACAGGGCUGGAAACCACUUUUGACUGACACCUUGGAGAGCAGCUGUUAAUCAGAGCAGUAACUAGAUGGAUCAAUAGAUUGAUUCAGUUCCUAAGCUCACCAUUUAACUCUCUGUUUAACACAUCCUCCAUGUAUCUUGUGACUAGGUUCCUAUAGCCAUUUCCCUGCUUCAGGAAGGCUUGGAUGCUAGGGCAAAUUCCUGGAGGAGAGGGCUAUCGAAAGCUCCUAGCCAUGAUGGCUCCUGAAUACAAGUUGCUGGAAACCACGGGAGGGGAGAGGGCGCUUGUGCAAUACCUGGAGGGUCAAAGGUUCCCCACAACUGUCCUGGGAGCCUCCCUGUGUCAGGGAAUCCAGCCCUAUCAGGGGUUCUCAGCUGAGGAAAGGCUUCCAUGGAUGUUCAGAUGAAUGCAGGCAGGAAGAAGCCCUCUUCAGACCUUUUUGCACUGAAUGUCUGAAGUGGAGGCUGUGCAUGCAGGGAUAUUGGGCAUGGGGCUCGCAUGCACAACACACAGACUCAGCCACAUUUCUAAGCGCUCUGGUAAUAGGAAUUGCCUUGCAAGUCAUUGGCAUGGAAACGUCUUGGUGUUUUGCGCUAUGACGUCCAUCAUCCACAGCCCACAGGCAUCACAGUCUGGAACAUCUAGGGCGGGGGUUCCCAAACUUGGGUCUCCAGCUGUUUUGGACUACAACUCCCAUCAACCCAAGCUAGCAGGACCAGUGGUCAGGGAUGAUGGGAACUGUAGUCUUAAAAAAAAACAACAAAUAGCUGGAGACCAAGUUUUGGAAACACUGAUCUAGGGGGUGCCAAGCUGUGAAAGGCUGGCUUAACCUCUCUCAUGAGGUUGCUGAGGAAAUAUGUGGAUUGUCUCUCUCUCUGUGUGUGUGUGCAGAGUCAUUCAUUUCAGGAAGGGCAGAUGAGUAAUUGAACAACCCCCUUGUGCAUCUGAUGACCUGUGCAGGCAAAUUCCUGGCUGUUCCCAGCUUGUGUACUUAUUGGCUGUUGCCUCAGAGCAGCAGAGGGGGACCACAAGCCCUUGACUCACACCUGUGCAGAAUCCUGCCACAUCUGCACCGCAUGGGCCAGGCCCCCCUCCCCUCUCCGUUACACCUUGGCCACUUUGGCUGGCAAAUGCCCAGACUGGCUGCUGCCCCUUCCUCCUGUUUCUAUUUUCUGCCUGUGCCCGGUACCAGAGUCCAGGAGGCACAGCACUCACGACUGCUGUUGGCAUCUGAUGACAUCGCUUAUAUAGCCCCUGAAACCUCAUGCCUACAAUAAAACAAUCAGUCUCCAGGGUGCUGCAUCAAUUUUUCAUUUGUCUUCUCGGUUCCCAUCUGUAGGUAAAUUUAAAAUACCGGUAACCUCUAUGGCAUGAGAAGCAGGAGGACAUCCAAGCAGGCUGUGUGUGUGUUUGCAUUAUCAGAAGACAGAAAGGGUGCUAACUCUGUGGAGGCAGGGAAACAGCUUGCAAGUGAAAGGGAAGAGGUUACAGCAAACUGAAGCAGACUUCUUCUUAGCCUCUCACUGCUGGCCUGUGCCCAGAAGGAGGUGCAAGGAGGUCCCCAGCAGCCUUCCUUAACCUUGUGCCCUCCAGGUGCAUUGGACUGCAACUCCCAUCAGCCCCAGUCUGCAUGGUCCAAUGGCCAAGGGUGUUGGGAGUUGGAGUCUGACUGCACCUGGAAGGCACCAGGUUAGGGAAGGCUGCUUGGUAGGCCUCGUGGAGGAGCCAAUCUCAGCCAUGCAAAACCACUUGAGCUGACCUACAGAUGUCCAGCUUCUGCCCACUUGAGAAUAUAAGGCAAGCCCUGCCUCCUGGAUCAGACCCAAGGUGCACAGAAUGUAGCAUCCCUGCUCCUCUCAGCAACCAAUCAUGGGUCUCCAGGAAGCUCAAAAGCAGGGCAUGAAGGCAACUGCCCGCUUCUCUCAUUGCUCCCCAGGUACUGGUGUCCCUACAUCCAUCGCCAUUUGGUGGCAACUGUGCUUUCUGGAAUGCGGUAUGGAAGCCAGGUGUGCAUUUAGCUUCUUGACGGACCGUGUGCUGAACUGUUACAUAGAGAAUCCAAAAAUCUAGCAGUGGGGCUCAGGCCUGGGGCAGAUGAGGAUAUGAGGCCUUUGUACCUGGCCUCCAGGACUCCCUGUGGGUCAAACCUCUUCCCCAGCCACACCCCUCAUUAGAUCCUCCUGGAGUGUGUUUGCCUGGCUGGAAUGUGUCCUUGAGCUCAGAUAACGCCUCUUCCCGGCCUGGAUGGAGGUGGGGUUUUGUGUGUGUAGAAACCAGCCUCCUAUGCAAAGUUGACAUUGACUUUCAUUGCCACACCCACUUUUCACCUCUGGCCCCUCCCACCACUGGCAUGUGACACCCCCCACCCCGGAAGGUUGCCCAGGAAAUAAUGUGACUCUCUGCCUAGGAAAAGGUCCCCUAGCCCUGGUGUAAAUAAAAGGACUCUCCCACUCUUUGCCAUCUUUCUCGCACUUCUGUUGACAGCAACUCCUCAAUUUCUCCUACAUCUAAAAACUGUGCAAGCUUUCCCAUACCUUGAGUGCUACUGAGGCCAUUAUUCUGCUGGUGGGUUUCCCCUGGGCAUCUGACUGAGCACUGUGGGAAUGACCCAUGCUGGACGAGGUGGACCUUUGGUCUAUCAGAACAGACCCUCCAAGUGUCCCUAUUUCCCAGGGUCAGUCCCGGAUUUACAGAUUUAUCCUGGUUUCUGAUUUAUCCUGGAAUGUCUCACUUUUCCCUAGGAUGUCCCUAUUUUCAUCAGAGAAGUGUUGGAAGUUAUGGAGUUAUGCGACCCCUGAGCCAGGGAAAUAAGUAACUAAACAACCUCUAGAAGACAUCUGAAGGCAGCCCUGUAUAGGGAAAUGUUGGAGGGUAUGUCAGAGACCCUUCAUAUGUUUUUAGGAUUCAUAUUCUUUUAAGGCAGCGGUGCUCAACCUGUGGGUUCCCAGAUGUUGUUGGACUACAACUCCCAUCAUCCCUGAGCUCUGGCCUUGCUAGCUAGGGGUGCUGGGAGUUGUAGUUCAAAAACAUCUGGGGACCCACAGGUUGAGAAAGGCUGCUUUAAGGUCUCUGGGGACUACAUUCAAAAAGUGUUGUGGGGUCUACAGUUCUGGCUCUGGGUUUUAGGGACCCCUAAGAUGAGGUGCUGCUGGGGGCAUUGGAGGUGGGGGCAAUCUCAGCAGGCGCCUGGCAAUGGCCACCAAUGGCACAGACCCUUGUUCUACCAGUUGGUUGCCCCUGACUCAGCUGAAAGGCUAUUAUGUUCCUGAGCGCUUGAUGGCAUCUGAAAAGCAAGAUUUCUCUCUGUGUGAGAGAUAUCGAGGAAGAUGUGCCUGAGGUCAGGGUUUGACCUAGAAGGUUUGGGGCUGGAGCUGUUUGCAUGGUCAGUAAGAAUAUCAGGCAGUGUCAGAGACAUCUGGUAAGACUACUUACUAAGCAGAGUCUCUGCAUGUUUAGGAGGGAUAGAAUUCUGAUCCCAGCUGUUCAUCAGGCGGCCUGCCAGGGUCACAGACGCCACUUCUCCUCAUCCGAUGACUGGCAGCUAAUUUUUAUUUUAUUUUUACCCUCUUUUUAAAUAAAUAAAUGCAGCGGAGGCUUCAGAACAUAUUGCAUUUGUCACAUUGGUGGAAUGCCAUCGUCGUUCUGCAUGUCUUCAGGGCACCAGCAAGAAACUGUGUGUGUUGUUCGGGUUUGCUUGUUUAUGCUGCAAAUGUGCACCCGGUUACAUGGGCUUCCCCUCGUGGAAAUAAAUGAGAUUAAGCAAGCGUAACUAGAACCAAGACUGCAGCCACAGACUUUCAUUUUGCACAUGUGGUUUGGUUUGGUUUUUUUUUAAAAAAACACAACCCAAAACGUUUACUGUGCAAUCUUCAGGGUUUGCAAAAACGCUUACUAUAAAAUAUUCCCAGAGGACAUAUGUGAGUUUUCGAGUGAGAGAGGCAGUUUUGAUAGCACUUUCAGUGCCCUCCAAACACCCAUAUUUUCCACCACCCACUGCUUUCUGCAAUGAGGUCUGGGUGGGGGAAAAUGGUUUCACGGCUGCAAAUCCUGGAAGACCUGCUCCCUGCCUAGCAGGCGUUUUCCCACCUGGCCUGGAAGGGCAGGUCUCUGAUUGACUCCAGCUGCAAAAGCUGAGGCUACUGAAAAGGCCAGAGACCAUCUUGGCUGUCUCCUAGUGGAGGCCCAGGUUAUCAGGCCUGAGCUUCCACAGCUGCAGCCCACAAUGAACCACCAUUGGCACAACUGGCAGCAACAGCAGCAGAUACAUCCUAUGCUUAUGGUACUAUUUUAUUCUCUUGUUAAUUAUGCUGUUUUAAAUGUGCAUUUUAUAACCGACUUCCUUUAGUAAUGUUUCCUUUUGCAGUGCUUAAGAUAUAUUUUUUUAAUGUUGCUGCAUUAAAUGUCCAUUCUGUAGUUGACCUCCUUUGCGAGGCUUUAUUUUGAAACCUUUAAGAUAACAUUUUAGUUUCCUAAUAAAAAUAAAAAUUGUCCAGUAGCACCUUAUAGACCAACUAAGUUUGUUCUGGUAUAAGCUUUCAUGUGCAUGCACACUUCUUCAGAUACCACAAAAGCUUAUACCAGAUCAAACUAAGUUGGUCUAUAAGGUGCUACUGGACAUUUUUUAAUUUUUAUUUUUUUAUUUCAACUGUGUCAGACCAACACGGCUACCUACCUGAAUCUAGAAUUUUAGUUUCCUGUUGUUUAAUGUUGCUUUGAAUGCAUACUUUAUAUUUGACUUUCUUCAGUAAUGUUUUAUUCUGGAUAGUUUUAUUUGACGUUUUGAUGUGUUGUAAACCUCUUUGAGAUUUUGUUCUUAAAAACAUAAAGCAGUAUAGUCAUGAAAUGGGUGAUAAUAAUAAUUUAGUUCCAGCUACAGAAGAGGCAAUACUGUUUGGCUAAUACUUAUGACUUCACCAAUGCUAUCACCUCUCCAAAUCCCUGGAGCAGUUUUGCGCUUAAAAUAGUUGCACUGGUUUUUCAGUAUGCUGUUGGAUGAACAUGUAAAUUGUUGAUGAUAUAUACCCCCCCUUUUUUUAAAGUGGAAAUCCCACUUGAUCAUAGCUAGACUGAGAUGGACACAACUUCUGACAUUGGAAAGGCAAUCAGGACCUCCACUACAGAGAAGUCCAGGGCUUCUCUUGCAUGCUUGUGUUCUUGAAAUACAAGUUGCAAGCCUUGGUUUUUUUAAUUUCAUGUGGAGAACUUUCUGCAGACACUUUUUUUAAAUGGCACAGCUGUUUUCACCCCUAUGGGCACAAGAGACCCCAGGUGCCAUCUAGACGCCCCAAUCCCUUCUCAAUAUGAUAAUCUUUAUUGUCAUUGUCCCAUACAGAACGAAAGUGAUAAAAUCUACAUCAGACAUUCAAAAACAACAAGCCUGCUAUCCCAGCCUGGUUAGCCCCCUAAAAAUUCUGAUACCCCAUAAGUAAAUACAAUAUACUCCCAUAGAGACUACUUUACACUGUGUUUAAAACCAAAAUCGCAUUUGGAUAGAAACUGUUUCUCAGGCACCUAGUCCUAGUCUUUCUAACCCUGUACCUUCUUCCAGAAGGCAGAAGCUGAAAGAGAUCAUUUCCGGGGUGCGCACUAUCCUGCGCUAUCUCUGCAGCUUUCUUAUGGCACCUGGAAGCGUAGAUUUGACCCACAUUUGCAAUGAGGCAGAUCUUGACAAAGACCAUGGAUUAGUUGGCUCUGUGGUAGUUGGUGGGGAAAACCUCCAGCCCAUGGGCUGAAUUUACCCUGGCCUAGGUCCCAGAUUCAUAAGUGACAUCAGGUGUGGGGCAGACAGAGAUGCAACCAGUUCCUGCAGUAGGUAGGGUCUAACACACUGUCUUUUAGCCGAUGGGCGGUGAAGUCAGCCCUGCUUGGUAGACUUCCUGAGAUCCAUGCUGAAAGUAGCUUUGCAAGCACAAUGCCGAGUACUUUCUGGCAUAGUCGACAAAGCCCCAUGCACUGUGGUUCCCAAGCACCCAGCAGCCAGCUUGCAUUCACUGCACAAGGGACUUAAGACAGAUGGGUGGAACAUAAUGAUGUUUGGUUAUUGCCCUGACCCCCAGGCCCAAAGGAGGGCCUAUGCGAGUGGUUUGAUGCAGAGAUGUCAAACAAGGCUGUCAAAAACACCAGAAUGGCCAGUUCUAGUGCUUUAUUAAAGAAACGCCCCACUGUCCUUACAGAUGCAGGUCGGACACUAUAGCAGUGAGAGGUCAUUGUGACUUGUCUGCGCCCAGGAAAGCAUUCAUUCAUUACUUGUGCAAAAAGACAGUAUAUGUCAGUUUGGCCAGAACCUCACAUCACUCCACCUGGCUGUUGGGGGCAUAGGUGGCAAAUACCCAGGUCUUACAGAUAGCUCCCCUCUCUGGUCCCAGAGCCCAGCAUCGCAAGCCCAGAGAUAAGCACAACAUCAAAUCAAGCCAAUGAGCAUAUGUCAAAGCAACAGCAUAAACAUGUAAACAUUCUUCCGACAACUACCACUUGAUUCCCAAGAUAGCAUUUGCAGGCUUUCCAGAACCUUUGGUUCUGCACAGUGAUUGACAGGUGGCUUGUCCCACCCACCUGCCAAAGUUGGCCCAUCAGGGGGGAGGCAGAUGAAAGUUUCCUCACCCCUUCUCUGUGGACGUCUUGUCUUCUUUCUGCAAAGAGUGACAAUGGUGGAAACAGAUCGGCCUUUGCUGGUGGUUCCCACCCCCAGGACUGUAGCAAAGAACAAGAACGCUGCAUCAUUUGGAUCCCAAGAAGUCACUAGGGCUAUUCCCUACUGAACAUUCCUGGGUGACCCACAUAUUCCUCUGGUUCUACAGAUCUUCUUUGGAGGCCCUGCACUAUGUGUCCCCAGCACGCUAUGCCAGGUGGGUGGCUACAAAGGGAAGGGCCUUUUGAGUGGUGGCUCUGAAGUUAUGGAAUAGCUUUCCCAGAGAGCCUCUCCUGGUACUAUUUUAUGGUCUUUUUGGUGCCAGGUAUAGAGUUUUUUAUUCAUGCAUGCCUUUUAACCUUGUAUUAAAAGAACAGCCCUUCAGCCUUUUGUAUUUUUAAUAUAAACAUUUCACUACCUCCAUUUUUUAACAUUGUUUUAAGCUGAGCUGCACAUUGUUUUUUUACACACACACACACACACACACACACACACACACUGUGUCUGUCUGCUAUGAAUGAAGGUUUUGUUAAUAUUUCUUUAAUAUUAUUGUUUUUUGCACUUUUUAAAAUAUCGCAGGAGGCUUGUUUACUGUUCCACUAUGCUAACCAUUGAGAGCAUUUUUUUGGGUGAGCUGCCAUAUCAAUUUAAACAAAUAAAUAUCACAGUAAUUAAAUACAGUGGUACCUCGGGUUACAUACGCUUCAGGUUACAGACUCUGCUAAUGCGGAAAUAGUACCUCAGGUUAAGAACUUUGCUUCAAGAUGAGAACAGAAAUCGUGCUCCGGCAGUGCGGCUGCAGCAGGAGGCCCCAUUAGCUAAAGUGGUGCUUCAGGUUAAGAACUGUUUCAGUUUAAGAACAGACCUCCAGAGGUACCACUGUAAUGGUAACCCUAUGCAUAAAUAUCCUUCAUUUGAUGCCCUUUUGUCACUUAGCUUGUGUGAACUGACUCCACGCUCAGUCUUGAGCUGACAGGCAGGUUUGAUACCUGUGGGGGGGCAGGGUUGCUCACGUAAUGCCUGAAUCGGGACUUGAUGUUGCAUUCACCCUUGGUCAAGGGUUUGCUUCACUCCUAGAGUGAUCCGAGAGCUUUUUUCUUCUCCUGGAGAGCGGAGCACCUGAGACACUGAAUUACAGGUUGCUCUUUCAGAAGUCGAGGCUUUACCGCCGCUCUGCCAAACCCAUUAGGCAGGCAGGUUUCUCUGCAAGUGCCGUUCUGUUGCUAAGGAGUUUAUAAUUUCAUCUUUCGAAGGCGGGGGAGAACACGGGAAGCCUCCCGACAUCAGGAGGUGUCGUCUGGAGAAAAGUUUUGCUGGCAUCCCACGCUUGGGGCUCCUGCCUUCGCUGUCUGCCCACCCACCCCUCUCGCUCACCCCACACUCGCCCUGUGAUCAAGUGCUCUUAACAACCACCCCACUGUUCUGAAGAAAGCAGCCUUACAAGAGGGUUCGCAUUAGCUUUUCAUCUGGGAGGAAGUUGCUGGGAGGGGAGCCAGUGGCAGUUACAGGAAAGUGUGGCGGGGAGAGGAGCACAGAGGGCUGGUAAGAAGAACACACACAAGAUGAAUCGGAGGAGGCAAAGCUCACGUACGCGGAGGAAGGCGUAGGCUUUGGACCUGAUCAGCAAAACGGCCAAGCCAUUUUAAUGCGUCGGUUUUAAUUUGCAUUGGAGGGAGCCAAAUGUUUCUGCCUGCCUGAUGUAACCUUGCGAGUGGAGCAGAAUGCGGCCCUGCAUGUUACCAAUUCCACCCCCCCCCCCCCAAAAAAGAAAUCACAGGUUGCCAAGAAGCUACUCAGAUUCAUUCCAAGAAAUACCUGAACAGGAUGUCCUUGGCCACUUCUGCAAAUGAGCAUAUAAUUGAUGUGUGGUUGGUUGGCAUCCAUCUACCUUGGGAGACUCGGGGGGUGAGGUCAAGCUGUUGCAAGGUUGCUGCGCCUGUUGUGCGUGUAGAAACUGAUACAGGAGAGACAUGUUUUGUUGCAGCUGGGGCAGGUGAAGGCUUUUGGUUGUGCUGCUGCAGGUGCACCACGGCGUUUCUUCUCUCUAUGCUCCUCCCAGAUGGUGGGGACGUCAGGCGCCAUCCUGUUGCCCAGGCAUCUUCACUUGGUCGCAAGUGGUUGAAAGGCAGAUGCAAAAUGUACCUGGCACUUGGCUAAUUUCAAACACUUUGGGUUGGGCUUUGGUGGAGUCUCACAGAUUGGGUGCCAAGUCAGGUCAAAACUUGGUGGUUUAGGAACUGCACCAGAAUGCAGCCGGGAAAAUCAGAAUAAGGGGACAGAGGGCAGAGGAAUGGCAGGCAGAGGUGAUAUCAAUAUCUGCCUGUCUGUCUUACUGCCUUGUGCUGUUAUUAUUUCGCACACCUAUAAUUUAUUUCCAUUUCUGUAUCGUUUUAGUUGGCAUUCGCAAGCUGCCUUGAGAUAAGUGAGGAAUCAGUUACACACAUAAACAAGUCACAAAAUCGGAGGGGAAAUGUACAUAAAAUGUGCUAAUCACAAUGUGCAAACAUUUCUAAAACAUACACAGAUCUGACUCUCAAAUUCCGGCUAGUUCCUGAGUUGUGCAGCUAUUUCAGAAAACAAUGCCCAGCCUACAUGUUACUAAUUAAGGCAGGCAUAGGCAAACUUGGCUCUCCAGAUGUUUUGGGACUACAACUUCCAUCAUCCCUGACCAGUGCUCCUGUUAGCUAGGGAUGAUGGGAGUUGUAGUCCGAAAACAUCUGGAGGGCCGAGGUUGCCUAUGCCUGAAUUAAGGCCACCAACCUCUGCACAGUUACUUGGGAGUAGCAUCACAGAGCUCAGUGGGACCUUCUUCUGAGUAGACCUGCCUAGACCAGCAUUGUAAGAUGCAUCUGUACCAGGAAUUGACAACUGGUGAUAUGGAAGUCACAGAUCAGUCCUAAAUUAGGCAAGUAGUAUUAUUACGAACUAGAUAUCAUUUGACUGGUUCUACUAGCAAACUUUCUAACUGGCAGCUGGUAUUAGAAUCUGAAAAAACAGUAAAAUUCAGAUUUGGAUAUUUUUAUGAUAAUAAAAAAUAAAAAAUAAAUAAAUGACAUUAAUAUAUCCCAUGUCUGCAAAAAACCCUCAACAACUUAGUAUCUGAACUGGUUUGUAGAGGAAGGCUGGAAUCGUAUAUAAGGGGAGUAAGCCCCGUGGUAUAAAUGGGCCUUACUCCUGAGUAGACAUGACAAGUAUCGCAUUUCAUUAUGAUCGUGGUGACGAUGACAAUUAUCACUGCGAGAUGGCAUUUGCUUUGCAUUUUGAGUGUUUUGCAUGCAUUAUUUGAGUUACCCUUGUACAAGUCCAGUAACGGGGGGUCACUGUUGUUUAUAUCCCCACAUUACAGAAUCGUGGAACUGGGGGGGCGGGGGGGGGAGAGAGGAAAAAUGCUCUGGAACAGAGGUUUGCCCCCAUCUACUUGGUGUGCUUCAUAGCAGAGGUGAGAUCUGAAAUGUUCCCUUUUCAAAAGCUUCCAUGCAUAACCCUUUGGCCAGGGAACUGCAAGACACCAGCAGCGGCUCGGGUUUAAAGGAGUGACACAGUGAUUUUUCUUGGCUUUUUUGACAGCGGCACAAGACUCCAUCCUGAAGCGUGUCUCUUCCUAUUCCCCACCUUGUCCAUUGUCAAGCUCCAGACAGUGCUGUUUGUAAUCCUGGUAAGGGAGAAGUGAAUUCCAGCACCCACACAGAGCAAGAGAGAGAGCAGAGCUAACAGCUGCCGAA